GCAUCAAAAAGCAGCUAAUCAUGCGGCAACUUAUGUUCAAAAAUAAAACAGCUAGCACCUAAAAUCUGGUUUAUUAUUUCUUUAACUUGUCCUUGUCCUUCUAGAUUGUAGCAGCAGCCGAAGACAUGAACAACGAUUGGCAGGGAACGCAGAGUAUCUGCACGAGUGAUCAUGUGUUGUAAGUGGCAGAAAUUAGCAGACUUUUACAUUCAGAUGAGAUAAUCUUUGUUCUCUGUUGCAUAUUUGACCACAUCCACCAGAUCUUUAUGUCAUGUUUACCACAAUACUGUCAUUUUAAUGUUUCUUUUUCUUUUCCUGUUUUCAUGAAUAAGUAAAUGAUGCAAUGUAAUGUAAUAUAAAUUCUUGACAGAAUUUCAGUGUUCUGUGAGAGUAAUUGUUGCAACAGACUGAUGUAUCACAAUCUCCAUGUAUGCUCUUAAAAAAACUUUGAUAACUCACUGGAGUAGUUCAGCAGUAGUGCAGCAUAAUCUUGCACACAUCAAACUCCUACUUCAGGAUCCAACAACAAGGAUAUGAAUUCGCAGAGAGAUCUGAUAUAUGUGAUUGAUUCCAGUGGUUUUCCCGUGGUGAAUUUUUUAAAAAGAGGAGACUGGCAACUUGGGUUCAAUCCAGAAGAUCACAGGUUAAUUCAAUUAUGUGCUUGAAGUUAAUAUCUCUUUGUGUUGACCAUCAAUCCAAUGAAGAUUAGCAGAGAAUAUCGUUAUGUCAUAGACAAUCAUCACGUUCUUUGUGUUUAUUAAGGAUAAGCUUUUUCUUUUUCAUCCUGGGUUUUUGACUCUUACCAUAACAGCCAGCUAAAAUAAUAACUUUUGGAUUUCUUUUCCACUAGAAUUAAAAUAUUUAAUUCAACUUAUUUAGUAGUUCUGAGUUAAGAGUUAAAUAUAUUAAUUCCUUUUUAAAUUUCCUCUCCUUCAAUUGCUCAUUUUCCUUCACAUGCACGCACUCUCAUUUGUUCUUCCUUCUUUUUCUGAGCAUCUUUUCUACUCUUGCGGAUGGUAGUGAGAAAAUUCUAUGUGAAAAUGAUCUUUCCAAAUAUGAAAUUUGAAAUUUGAAUGCAUUUCAAACUCAAUUAUCUAUUAAGUAAAAUCUAUCAUACUAAAAUUCAGUCAAGUUGGUAUUUGUGAAAACUCGACCCUCAAAUAUCUCUACUCUAACCAUUCCAAUUUUAAGGCGAAAUUGAGUCUGGAAGAACGAAGACUUGUGAGUUUGAUCAAAUAAGAAAUGAUAUUUUUCCCCCACUUAAGAUGAACGAGUUCGUAGCUGGGUAGCUGAAAUCAAAGACCUAACUUAUGAUGCAGAGGAUAUUAUAGAUACUUUUCUUCUUAAAGCUGCUAGGGCUCGGGAGAAGGUGUUCAUGGGUUCAUCAAUAGGGCUUCCUUCAUGUUCAGAAAGGCUUUUCGUCUUCGUGAGAUAGGGACCCAGAUAAGAUCCAUCCGAGCUAAGAUUGGGGAUAUUUCUACAAGUAUGCAAACUUAUGACAUCAAAUUGGUUGCUCAAGGAGAAGGGUUCAGUUUUGCACGUGAGAUGCAACGACUACGAAGAUCAUACCCAGAUGACCAUGAUGAGCAAGUUAUUACCUUGGAUACAACAUACAAGCAUUAGGGCUCUUAAAGAUCAGUUGGGAAAACCACCCUUGCCAAGAAAGUAUACAAUGAAUCUCAUGUGAAGCAGCAUUUUGAUUGCUAUUCUUGGGCAUUCUUAUCUCAACAAUUCUCCACAAAGGAUGUUAUGGUUGGAAUCUUGAUGGGUGUUGCAUCUAGCGAUGAUAAAACUAAGUUGGAAAGAACAGAAGAAGAAAGGGUUCCUAAAUUCAUGUUGGAAAGGAUGAAGCAGUAAAAGAAGUUCAAAUCUUUGCUAAAAAAAUGGAAGAAGAAGAGCUGGUUAAAACAUUUCGCAGUGUAGGAGAAUAAUCAAGUAUUUUAUCUCAAAUCUUCUGCUCUCUUUUUCUUCCUUUCAUCAAAGUUUUAUAUCUCAUAGGCCAGGGAAGAAAAUUUCCUAGGAUUUUGCAGCAAACAAUUCCUACUCAGUUCUGCACUUCCCAAAAAGUAAGUUACGUAGAAUUGCCAUUCAUCAUGAGAUAUAUAGAUACUGUGAACUUUAUGUUCCUAGGUUGAAGGGUGGUGAUCCACAUCUUCGUUCUCUUUUCUAUUUGGUGGAGAAUCAAUGUAGUUAUCAUAUGCCAAGUCGUCGAGGAAGAUUUAUUUUCAAGAAUUUUAGACUGCUUUGAAUCUGAGAAUGUACAUCAUUGUUAUGGUUACUUAUCUAGAGCUUUAUCAUCAUCCAUAGGUAAUCUAAGGAGUUUAUACACUGUUGAUCUACGAAAUAAUCAUCACAUAAGGUUACCAGCUGCACUGAAGAAAUUAGAAUGCUUGAGACAUUUGUUAGUAGAUGGUACUGGAGGGAAACUUCAAUUGGAUAUAUUAGUGCAUUUAGAGACUUUAAAGUGGAUUAUUGAAGCUAAGAAUCUAAUUAGAAGAGCUGUAGUGCUUAAACUCACUAACCUUAGAAACUUGGGUGUAAUAUUUGAAACAAGAGAAGAAGUUGAGAUGGUUAAGAUUUCUGCAGGUCAAGACUUCUAUUGCUUUCUGCAGAGAUCCUGCUCUAUCCACAGAAGGCUUAAGAUUUUCAUCCUUGUUGGUGUAUUGGCAGGAAGAUUGUUCUUAGCUUCUUGUUAAUAGCAUGAUUUGCUGAUUAGAUUAACUAGUUCCUUUACUUUGUCAACCUGGACUUUCACGAAAAGCAGCUUGUUAAGCUUCUUUGUACUUGUAUUUAAACAGAGAUGUAUUUCUUCAAUCCUGUUAUUGAAAAAGCUUUCUCUGAUCCAAAUUCUUUAAUCCUACCGUUCCUACUCGUGGUUUUGAGGUGUCUUUUCCACUGAAAUUUUCCACAUCCGAAUUCGUUCAGUUUCUCCACAUUCGAACUGCACACGCACAACGAAGUAAGCAAAUACAUAUGCGUUUGUUAUCGAAGCUACUAAAAAAUUAGAAAGCAUGUAACAAUUUCAAUAGAGAAUGAACCAAUGUGGGAUAAAGCAGUCCGUAUGCUGGAUUGUGAUGCGCCUGUUGUAAUUUUUAUACAAUAUGGGAUAACUAAGGAGUGGAAUUUUAAUCUCCUGAUUGAAGAAUGAUUAUUGUUUGCCACGAGGAAGGAAGGAAAAAAGGUAAUCUAGUAAUUCAUCCUAAAUCGACUGAAAUGAAACGCUUUCAAUUCAUAAGCUAUGAGAAUUGAAGCAUCUAUUUACAGGCUGAAGGAGUAAAAUUCUAACUCUAAUAACGGGUAAAAUUUUGGUCCUUUUUCUCACCCAUCUGAACGUGUAAACAAUAUUGCAGAGGGAAGUAAUCUUACUUGAAAAACAGAAGGGCACCAAUCAAGUGCAAAACCAUGCAAAUGAACAACAGAAUCCAAAAUCCACUGACGGUCACAAAUAUGCAGUCUUCACUAUUAAUCAAAGUAAUUGGCGAAGAUCUUGGUUUUCUUUCUGAAGAGACUUAAUUUCUUUUAUCAGCUCUGCCUGAUUUUUUGCAAUUGAGCUCAUCACACUGGAAAAUUCCAUCUGUUCAAUGAAUUCAAAAUAUCAGACUGCAAAUAGAUUACCACAAAAGGGUGAGUCAAACCCAAAAUUACAUAGGUACCUCCUGCAUGUGAAAUUGUCUUAGAAUUUCAAUGUGAAGGUUCCUCAUGUCCUCAUGGAUGGAUUUCUGAAAUGAAUCAAGAGUUCCUUCAAGAGUCCGUUGAAAAAGUUGGAGUGUGAAGGAAUUUCCUUGCUGCUGAUCCAGCUGAAGGGCCUUAUUUGGUUGUGAGGUUCCUCCCUAACACAAGAAAGCAAACUAAUUAGCAUGAUAAAGUGAUAAACUUGUAUAUGUCUUUAAUGUUUCAUCACAUGGAUGACAUUGGAAUUUUGCAUUCUAUGCAACAACACAUAAUUAGCCUCAGCACAAGAUAAGAUCCAAGUGUGGCCUGAGCUUUCAACUCAAUAAACAGUAUUGAGGGCAUCUAUGAUGAUGAAGCAUAACAUAUUGGACUUUUCUCCCAAAGAAACACCGAAAAAUUCAGAUGCAAUCACAGGCAAAUGUUUAUUGGGCCAAUCUAGUGUGCAUACAUUUACUGCUGGAAGAAUUCCUUGUUCUGUCACAGACAACGUGUCAGACCUUGACAACAAGCUACUCAAAAGCUCUUCCCUGGUUUCAGCUCCUGUUUUCUUUGUUUUAGGAGAACUCACUAAAAGGGAGAUCUCAUUACUGAAGGAAGAAGCUGUGCUUAUUCUCUCAGCAUAAGUUGAAAAUCUACGAGGAAGGGUCAAAGAGCCUGAUCCUGGCACAUCAAGGGUAGUUUGUCCCAUGAUGCUUCUUGUACUCAAAGACUGAGACAUGGAACUAGAGGAAACGAGUUCUGAAAAUCCUGUUGAAUUUUCCUGCUUUGAAGAAACAUCUCUGGGGUGCAGACUUGAAAAACUCAUGUUUGAAUUUGUCAAAGAGCUCAUAAUUAUCUGACUUGUAGAUGGUAGAUCUGGAAAACCCCCAGAAGUCAACAUCCCAAACUGAGAAGGUAGACUGAGUGACUGGUGCAAGUGGGUAAGUUUCUCAGAUAAUCUCUCUCCACCCCAAGCUUCUGGAGGAGUGAUGGAGGAUUCUUCACUUUUUGAAGAUGGAGUAGGAGUAGAUUCCAAUGGUGAAAAAGAAGAUCUGGUCUCCUCCUGCACAAAAUGGAUAAAAGAAAUAUCAAACAUCAUAGGUAUGAAUUAUCAAACAGCAUGUUCACUAGGGAAAUUGAAUCCAAGUCAAACAUCAACAGGAAACCCCAGAAUAGCAAGCAUUAACAAAAUCAGAAUUAUAAGAGGAAAAUCUCCUAUUACAGUUAAUUUGAUAAAAAAAAAUAAUAACACACUGAGCUACCUUUAAUUAAUUUGAUUAAAAAAAAAAAACAUAACAGGCCACCUUUAAUAAUCAAAAAGAUAUGGUGUCAUAGAACCUCAGAAAUUUUAGGAUCAGAGUUUGGUAACAUGCAGUGCAGUGGAGAGGCAAUAAAGCACAAGAUGCUGUGCAUUAUUUCAAUGUUGCUCCAAGCAUUCCGAGGAAGAGAAAGUUGCUGAAUUCAAGGAUCAUGUGAAAAAUACAUAAUCACAUAGCAAUACAGUUGCAUGGCCAUAAAAAGUAUAGUCAAUAUUUCCUCUAGCUCAUAUUUCUUAUCCACAUUUUUUAUAAAUUUAAGUAUUGUAGAUAUCAUGAGAACAGAACAAUAGAUAUCAGACCUGUUUGAAAGUUGAACUAGUUUUCCAAUCGAAUAUAGGAUGAUCAUUUGUCACAUCAUCUGCAAAAGGAAAUCUACUACCAGCAGAAGGAAAUAACAAAGAUGAGGGCUUCUUAUCAAUUGAUAGAUUUCCCUUUCUUGUACCCUCGUGAUCAUCCCAGAGCUUAUUAAGUGCCGAUGUGAUAGGAUGGACAUCAACAAGUGGGGAAAAAACUUCCAUGUCAUCCUUAAAAUUAUAACUUGUACGAGGAGCAUGUAAGCUUGUCAAUGUUCCACUAGGCCACAGAUGGCUCCUAUGUGGAGUUUCCUCUGCAAAGGACGGCAUACUUGAAGCAGAUCCACUGCUAGUUGAAGCAAGAGACGAUGCUUCUACAGAAAGACCAGAACGGCCAAGAUUAUGAGAAUUUGACACUCCUGUAGAUAGUGAAACACUGGAUGCUGUCACAGUGGGAAGGGGGUCAGGCAUAAGAAUGGAAUCUUCAACAGCACUUCCGAGAAGAGCUGUCUCAGCAGUGCAGGUGCUCUCAUUUACAACAACUGGUUUUGAUCUUUGCCAGCACAAACUUGUAACAGCCUGAUGAAUACCAUAAAUCCUUAUUGUCAGGUAAGAGUAGAAGAAACACGGUUUGGGUAGUAUAUGAAAUAACAUUAAUGGGUUAUGAGACAGGGAAUGAUUAUUUAUUUAAAGUUCAAUAAUUCUUUAUUCAAAUAAAAAACUCUUGAUGGAGCAUCAAGGGCUGUAUUUGAAAGACAGGAAAUUUAUAUCCCACUAGAGAUUCACAUUAUUAACCUAACUACUGCAUGCAAAACAAUAACUAAAGCCUUCUGACACUGUCUUUCCAUUAAUUACUCUUUUGUGCUCUGCCCAAUAUGAGGCGCAUCAAUUAAACAUAAUAAAAGCAAAGAGGAUAGCCACACAUAGAUCAUCAUAGAUGACAUGCUUAGUGAUCAAACUUAAUACUCAGGUAUAUACAAAUAAGAAUAGUGAGAAGUCACAUGUAGAAUUCUUAUAAUAUGCAUCCAUUUCACCUUGUUUGUUUUUCUUAUAGACCAUUGUGUUCAAGUAUGCAUUAAAGAAACUCUAGCCCCACAAAUAGCUAGGUGCCAUCCUAUUAACAAGUAAGGGGUUUUUACUCUCAGUCUACUUACCAUACACAGACCUAGUAGCAAGCAGCAGUUGUGAUAAAACAUUUCAAAAGGCUCAUAUUCAAAAAAUAAAGUCAAAUUGUGGAAAAAUAUUGAUCCAAAAUUUAUACAUUUCAUAAAGGUAAGAAAUCAAGUUCAAAUAGAUGACAUAAACCAGCUUGUAGUGAGCAUAUGUAAAAUGUUUCCAUUCCAAACUGAAGUGACGAAGUAGUCAGUAUGAAAAAAAGUGGGGCCUUAAGGUGUUGUUAGAAAAAAAAAACAUUGGGACAAAAGAAAUGCACCUCUGAACUGCCAUAAGCACGAAGAACAGUGAAAGGCUGUGGUCUUCCACGAACAUCAUAGAACACUACUCGACCACUGCUAGUUCCAGCUGCCAAAGUCAAGCCAUCAUCUCUGAAUGCCAAUGAAGAGAAAGGUGCCUCGUAGGAUAUAUAAGAUGAGGGUCUCCGAGACUCCAAGUCAUAAGUGUAUAACUUUUUAUCCAGUCCAAUGCUAGCUAUUAUCUGUAUGGGCAAAAACAGCAGAAGACUACCACAAUUUACAUCCUCAAAUAAGUUUCGUCAUUCUAAAGCAGAUAAGUAAUCAGUUUUUUUUUUUAAAAGAUCACAUGGAGGAGUUUUUUUUUCCAUAAGAUCACAGGAAAGAGGAAGAACUGUAACUUGCUAAAUAAACAUGAGACCUUGUCAUUUGAAGGUGAGAAGCUAAUACCAGCAGUCGGGGCAGAAUGUUGCUUCAACCAAGAAAUCUGUUUAAAAUAAAUAAAAAAGAAAAAACCAUUGUUAUGUGCCUGGAAGAUAAUAGCAAUAGAAAAUGAACAUAAUACUGCAGAGAUGCAGAAAUUUUAAUAUAGAAGCAAGGAAACAAAAAAAUUUAGACAAAACAUAUUGUCCUUGAUAUGCCUAGAUUAAUAACCAUAAUGAAUUAUUGAGAAAUUGACAAAAUGAGAAAGUCAAUCCACAGAUGGUUAAGGAACUUGUCCCUGCUAAUUUAUAUGAAACAUCAACAAUUUCUGGAGAAAAAGUAGAAGUCAAAUAAAAGGAGAUAUCCGUUUUGUUUUUCUGAUGUGUUUAUAGGCAUACAACUCAACUCAUUCUUAAUUAUGCAGCAUUCCAAUGGCAAUAACAACACGACAGUUGAACUUUCCAAUAAAAUGCUUAAGAUACAUACCCACAGAUCAAAGUAUAGCUUUAAUAUAUGAAAGUUCCACUCAAGCAUCAAAAUUAUUCAGCCAUAUUUGUAACUUUAAACAUGUAUCAUCAUUCAAGAAUAAGAACCUUUGGGCUGCGACCAGUAGUAUCCCACAAAUGUACUGACCCAUCAUCACCUGCAGUCACCAAAAUGUGCCGACUAAUCCGUGAAUAGUCUAGCACCCGCAAUACCUGGUCUUAAAUCCAACAGAUGAACAAUUAGCUUGGCUCCAGAAACUCUAACCCAUGAAUACAAGAAAUAUACAAGAGACUAAACAACCUGUUCAUUAGGAUCCUUGAGUUCUGCUGCCCUUGCGCCAGUUGCAAGAUUGUGAAGGAUAAGAUCCCCACUUAGACUAAUGGAAGCCAAAUGCUCAUCUUUGCAAUUGUAUAGAGCACCAGUUAUUGUACUGGUGUGACCCCUCAACCAUUUAAUACAGCGUUUCCUCUGUAGAUCCCAUAUUCUUACAACUUGACCACUUCCCCCAGAGCACAUGUAUCUGGAUCCCUUGUUACUAAAGCUAAUAGCCAAUAUUGAUUCCUGAAAAUUAAAAUUCUAGUAACUUAGUGCAAUUUGAUGAAGCAAUCCUGUUCCAUUGACAGGAAAUGAAACAAAGGUGAGAGCCAGGCAAAACUAACGCUGUUCAGGAAAAAGACAACUUCACCAUGAAUGACAUGCUCUAGAACAAGGUUUAAAUACAGAAAGCAUGCAGUGAAAAGCAUCAUAGAUCUAAGGGCUUAGUAUCUGAUUGAUCUAAGCAUACUCUGUUUCUUGUUCAAGCGCCAAACAGGUCAAAUUGCUGAUAGCUGAAGCACACAACAGCAAUCUUACAUCAUGAACUGCUCCUUUCUGUAUUCUUCAAUAAUUUUUAAAAGAACAAACAAAGUUUUUGCUUAAAUUCUCAUUCCUUUGAGUCUAGUGAUUACCACUCAUAAAGUUUCCCACUUGUAAAUUAAGGAAAUAAAUUCACAUGAGAAAAUGUUUUUUGAGGCAACUCACACAUGCCUUUUAAAAAAACUAUAGUCUAAAUGGCAAUUUACUUGCAUGUAUUGAUAAGAUCUCCUUCUCCAUCAACUCAUACAUUAAAACUCAACAAAAUCUGUGGUCAUUAGGAGACAAUUCUGAAUCCCAAAAUAAAUUUCUUCUAUGAUCAAUUCCUCCAUGAAAAUUUGCAGAUUUACGUAAUCCUGAAACUAAUUUAUUUCUAAUAAGCAAUGGCACUAUAGAAUUUACAUAUAAUUACCUCAAUGUUGUCUCCGGUAUCUGUCCCAGCAACCGGAAUAGUCCCCAUGCUCUGCCCAUUUUUCCUCCAGAGAGAUAUCUUCUUAUCUUCUCCAGCACUAGCCACAACCAAAUCUGCAAAGUGUGAAACUCCAAUUUAAAUCAAUCUCUGAUUGAUAUAUUUAUCCACCCGUCUAACUCAAUUUGAACAGCAGAAAUUAGGGGCAAAAACAAAGUUCAGAAUUUCCUUUAUUCAUUUUCCUGCACUUUCCCACUGACCAAACAAGCUCUAAAUAAUUCCAGAAAUAAGAAAAUGCAGAUUCAACAAAAGUAAACAAGCUAGACCCAUUCACCAAAACCAAGUACGCAUGACAUCUAAAACACGAAGAUAAUAAAUUGCAAAACAAUGAAGAUAGAGUAUAGAGCAAGUGACUCACUAGUGUGGUUCCACUUGACUGUGUUGACCAGGCAACCUGGAGAUGGAGUGUAGCUCGAGAUGCAGGGAUCUCCCGGCUCCCUCGAUACAUCAAAAAGCUUCACCGUAUCGCCUCCGCUGGCAGCCAGCAUCCACAUUGAUGGAUCCGCCAAGUUCAUCAUUUAUAAUCUCCAGUGUCCAAUUUUCUUAUCCAAAGAAAAAUCGAGCUCCCGAAUUUUCCCGGAAAAUUAAAUUCCUAGUAACUGAAAAUCACAGUUUUGAGAAAUGUGAGAUUGAGGUUGAAUUAGUACAAAAAAUGAAUAAACCCUACCUGAUACGAACUUACUGAGAGAAGGGGAUAAUGGAAUGGGUGUUAAAAGUUUUGAAAGGUAUUAAAGAGGCGCCAUUGGUUGCUUUUUCUGUAGUUUAAAAAAAAGAUAUUUUUUUAACUGGAAAAUAUUGUUUUUUACAAUGAAAAAAUAACUCGCUCAUAAUAUAUUGUUCUUAAUUAAAAUAUAAUUCAUUCAUGCAACAAAGCAAAAUUAACUAACCGUUUGUUUUAAGGCAGAAAGAAGACUAGUAAGUGGAAAGAUAAAAGGAAAAAGCCGAGAGUGAGAAAAGAAAAGGGGAGACUUUUUCGAGCUCUUUUGCAGUCCGCCAAGGUUGUCUUUUUAACUUGUUUUCAUUUUGAGUUGAAUUUAUAAUUUUACAAUAAUUUUGGCUUUGUGUUGUGUGAUUUUAUUAGAGUUUGGCUGGAGUGUCGCCAUGUUCAGUGAUAAAGAAUCAGUAAUUAUUCGACGUUGAAAUAGUAAGACUGGAAUCAUUAUUGAACCAACAUUUUCGAUGGUCAAUGAUAUUAUAUUUUAGGACUACUUUUUUUAUUUUUUUCUUUUCUUUAUUCUUUUGUUGGUCUCCGCUCACUAAAAUUUACUUUUUUCUAAACUUAUGACUAUCUCCUCUUUGUCUCGGUUAACUUCAUCUUCUCAUUUGAUUUGAUUAUUUUAUAUGUUUUAUUAAUUUUUUGUUUUAUCGAUAGGUUAAUUUAGGUUGCUUUAUUUUGUCAAAUUGACUUGUAUUUACUUUAUAGUGUUAUCUUUCAUUGCUGACGAUACUGGUAGAGUUUAUCAUUGUUUUUCGAUGAUGGGUCAAUUGACGAUGUUAUAUCCUGAGACUAUGUUUUUCAUUUCUUUCUUUUCUUUGUUCUUUUAUUGGCUUUUACACAUUGAAAUUUGCUCUUCUUUUGAGUUUGUGGCUACCUUCUUUCUAACUCGAUCGACUUCAUCUUCUUGCUUGGUUUAAUUGUUUGACAUGUUUGAUUAAUUUUUUGUUUUAUUUUAAUUGAAGUGUUGGAUGUGUUAAUUUAGAUGAUUUUUUACUUUGCUAAAUUGACUUACAUGUGCUUUAUGGUGUUGUCUUUCAUUACUGAUACUGAUAAAGCUGAUGAUCAUUUGUCGAUGAUAAAUUAGUUGAUGGCGAUAGUAAAAUCUGUGUGCUAGAUGUGUAGUCUUUGCCUUUAAUUUCAUAUAAUUUUUUAGGUUAAAUUUUCAGUUGAUAUUAUAAGUCGACUUUUUGGGAUGUUUGUGGCCUUUUCUCUAAAUUGACCUUUCUAAAUUGUGGUGAAUUCAAUGAGAAAUAAGAUUUUGGAAGAGGACUCCUUUGAUUUAUUGAAUUUAUGCUUAAACCUUGUUUUUAUUCUUUUUUAUAAGCAUCUUAAUACAACUCUAAAUAUUAAAAAAUUAAAAGGUUAUUUGAUAUUUUAAUAUUAAAAAUUAAAGGGUUAUUUUAUUUUUAAUUAUGUCAUUUAUUUUAUCUUAAAAUACAAAUUUUAAAUUAUUGAUUGAGAUAAAUUUAGAGGAAUUAUUGUAAUUUUCAUUAUCAAAAUACAUUUGAAAAUUGACAAUUUUAUUUGAUUAUAUUUGAAAAUUGACAAUUAAUUCUUAUAUCAUGUAAUGGGAAAUUUUUUUUCUUCCCACAAAUAUUACUUCUUAGAAGAAUACUUUAUGAUCAAAUUACAAUAAUAUCUCUUCUUAGGAAACCAUAAACAUGGAAUUGUAUCUUUUGACUCCAGCGACGGAGGAUCUGUACUUUUCGAGGCUUUUUGAGUUGCUUAUCUCUAUGCCUUGAAUGUUUGUUCUGGGUUUUUUGAUCUCUGCUAUGGCUUCUUGGAUCUUAGACGACCGGCUCUCCAGCUUUUUCUUGUUGUCGAACGGUGAUCUUGCAUGGCUAGAAGGUUUCUUUCUUGAGCGAUAGUUGUUUCUAGGGUUGUAGUGGGUUGGGAUUGGGCUUGAUUUAUGUACGGGCCGUAAGCUUUUUUAUUUUUGGGCAUCUCCGGUAGCUUUUUGUUUUUUAGGACUCCCUUAUAUCGGUCCUUUAAAACUGUUCUAUUAAUGAAAGUCUACUUUCCCAAAAAAAAAAAAAAUUAUUUUGCAAAACCUCAUGAACUCAUUUUUUUUAUUUAUUAUCCAUAACAAAAUUAGAAAAUAAAAGUGAGAAUUAGAACUCGUUUAGUUUGACGGUGGCAUCUGUUACAGUAGUUGAUAGAUGUGGUUAAUAGCUAAUAGGUGUUAAUUUUUAUAAUUAAUUAAUUAAUAUAUAUAUAUAACUCUGAAAAGGACGAGGAAAUAUUUUUAUUGUCAAAAAUGUUCCCUUUACAUAUAAUAAGUAAUUUUUUUUAAUUUUUAAUUUACUUAAAUAAUUAUAUUGGUGUUUUAUUUAAACUAAAAUUUAUAUUAUUGUUUUAAAAAUCAUUAACAACUUAUAUUAACAUUUAAUUCUAUUAAAUUGAAAUUUUAUAUAAUCUUAAAAUAAUAUUUAAAAAAUUAUAUUUCUACUUAUACAUAUUUGAAGUCGUCGCUAAUAAUAAAAUUAGCAACAAUGCAACUGUUGUUAAACAAAAUCAUUCCAUUGCUGUAAUAUAUUGCUAAAACAGGUAGCGAAUAUAAAUUUUUCUACUGAUUAGGAAAAUCAAUUUGUUGCUACAAUGCGUCACCACAGCUAUUAAUGUAAAUUCUAUCUUAAGACAACAUUCUGUUUGAUAAAUUAAAUUUCUAUAAUAUUUAUUUUCUGAUAUUGUUUUAUCACUUUAAAAUAAUUUGAAGUUUUUAACAUAUUAAGAUAAUUAAAAUUCUAAUACUAUUAAAAUAUUAAAAUCAACUAGUACUUUUUUUUUAAUAUAAAUAAAACUUUAUAAAAAAAAUUAUUAUUUUGAAAACAAUUACAAUUAAACAAUAGAAUAAAAAUAGUCAUAUCUUUCAAAUCAUGAAUAUUUAAAUAAUGAAUCAUAAAAAAAUUUAGGAAAAACUAGAAGCUACUAAUAUUGCUCUACAGAGACUAAGAAACAAGAACUCACUCAAAUGAGACAGACACGGCCAAGGCAACAAUUGUAGACAUUUUUCAUGUUGACAAAACGUAAAUAAUAUUUCAAGCAUCACCAUAUUAAGAUUAAACUUGUUCAAUGACAGGAUGAAGAAAGCAACCGCUAAUAAAAAUGAUAAGCUGCUUUUGCAUUCAAAUAUCAGAGAAAGGUAAAAUGAUGCUGCAGUGGACAUGGGUGACAGGAAUUUAACCAUUAAAGAAAAAUGAUAAAAAUAACCAUCUUCAACAUAAGAAUAUGCCUAAAUGACAAUACAACCACCUCAAUCAGUGACCAGGAAAAUGAAAAAGCAAUUUUGGGCGACAAAUGUAGACACCAUUGCAGUGCCACUUUUAAUUACCAGGUCAAAUUUAUGUACAGAUGAACCACAACGUAACCAAGGAAAAAAAGAAGUAGAAGAAAGAAAGAAAGAAAGAUUGCUUCUUUUGGAUCCUGGCCUUCGGUCAGCCACAUAAAAUCAGCCUCAAGACAGGAAGUUCCAAAGAUUUUACACCCGUUCCCCCUUUUAAAUCCGUAAGUGUAGAAGAUCCCCAGCUAGCAAUCUUCAGUUUCAGCCACUUUCCUGCAAAUUGAAAGAAUGGCGUGCAAAAGAAUUGUCAAUUAACAUGCCCUUCAAUGAAGACAAUUCAAUUUCAAUUUAUAAACUUUAAGUUCUGAUGAAGUGUUCAAAAUGUGUACAAAAAAGAAUAUCUAUACAGCAUUCCUAAAAGGAAAAAUGGGAGAGAGACAGAGAAAGGGAAAGAAAAAAGAACUAAAAUAAAUAUAACAUGAAAAAGCCCUUCUUUGAGCUUGCAGGGAACAACAAGCUGAAGCUCAAGCCUGCCAAUUUAUAAGAGGAUAACGCUUACACCUGUACCAAGUGCCAAGGCCAAAUCAGUAACAUUGUAAUCAAUGUAUGAACCUGCAGAUGAAAUGAAUCCAGGACCCAGACUCCAGACCCAGAUCUUUGGACAGAAAUCUUUGAAGGUAUUACCAAAAGUGACUAACUAUCACAGAAUACUCAUUUCAUGGGACUCAAAACAAUACUGAAUCUGCAAUUCCAUCGUUCAACAUGCCCUCUCAUAAACCACAAACAAAUAUGAAAUAACUAAUGUAAUGAUUAGCAGAUAGCAGUCCAGCUCACUCCAGUGGCCUGGCCAAUUUCCAGUGAAUCGCCAGAAACCCUAAACCCUGAGCACCUCCUAUAAAACUCUUUUUAUUCUCUGCAAACAGUGACAUGCCAAAUCCUGCAAGUACUACUAUUUUUGUUUUUUGGGAAUCUAUCUUUAACCUGUGUCAGAGUGAGGUCACUGGACCCAAGUCCAGCACCGCACUAACUACUGUUUUGUGCUACCAUGAUGCCCAGAUCCUUUCCAAUAUUAGUUUCCAUGCAAGAUUUUAUAAAGGACACCUGCAAGAUUGAUUUUAAGAAUCAACAGGGGCCUAAUUAAUGUUUGUACAAUAGCAUCCCCUUGAAUACUCCUGAACUUCUAUUCUUCAAGUGGUUAAACUCACCUUAAGGCAUCUAGAAGCCAAACACCUCGCAUAAUGAUCCAGAGAGACUAUAUAACCAUAUGCAAACUCUUAGUUAGACCAAGUGCAAUCUUUAUCAGAGGAGAAAAGAAUGAUCUUUAGACUAAAUCCACAGAAAAGAGAGAGAGAGAGAGAGAGAGAGAGAGAGAGGAAGAUUUUAAUGAGCGUGAUUUUCAAAUAGAGAGCACUUCAGCUGCAUGUUGACAAGCUUAAAACGCCUAUUCUUCACUAAUAUAAAGAAAAUGAUUAAAAAGAAAGAAAACAAGUAACAAGCAAUAAGUCACCAGAUAAAUAAAUAAUCCAUGGGUGCAUAACAUAAGCAUUAUCAUAUCUCAGCAAUGUGAAAACUAGAGAACAGAAGGCAAUUUAUCGACCUGCCUUAAAAAAGACUAGGGAUCAAAGAUGCUGCACCUGUCACAUUUUAUUUGGGAUCAUAUAUUUAGCUUUUUUCUCAGCAGGCUUCAAAAUCUGGAAGGAGCACAUCAGAUUUUCAUCUACACUCAUCAUAGCACCAGCAUUAUCAAAUUCACCACAAUAGUUGGGAGCUGAAAAAAUAGUGACAAGCUGCCUUUCUGCAAAGAACUCAUACCCAUCCUCCACAACCUAAAACUCAGGCAACCNNNNNNNNNAAAAAAAAAAAUAAAUAAAUAAAUAAGUGAAAAGGAAUCAUGCUAGUGUCCAGAAAGAGAAGAGCGAUAGACAAUGUAAAAGGGUGGGGAGCUAAAGUAAAUAACCUGGUGUGCACGACAGACAAGGUCUAAAUCAUGCUUCAUCAAGAAUUCUGACACCUUAUCAGGACCAAAAGUAUAUGAAACUCCUCUGUCGUUCAUUCCCCAACCCUUAACAUCUCUACCAGGAUCUGACCAGAGCAAAUCACACAGUAAACCAGUGUCUGGAACUGCAGUUGGUCGAGGUAAAUUUCUAAUUUGAUCCAAAUUUGUCAAAUCAGGAGAAAGACCACCGUGCAUGCACAAUAUUUUAUCAUCUAUUAGAGCCGCAACAGGGAGACAGUUGAAACAGUCAGUAAAAGAUUUCCAAAGCCUCACAUUAAACCGCCGCUUGCAUUCAUCAUAAAAUCCAUAUAUCCGGUUUAUUGAUGCACAUUCAUGAUUUCCUCUCAAAAGAAAAAAGUUUUCUGGAUAUUUAAUCUUGUAGGCAAGCAACAGGCAAAUUGUUUCUAAACUCUGCUUGCCACGAUCAACAUAAUCCCCUAAAAAUAAAUAGUUGGCUUCAGGAGGAAAACCUCCAUACUCAAAAAGCCUUAGUAAAUCACUAUAUUGGCCGUGAAUAUCCCCUGAAAAAUAAAGAAGAAUCUUUAGAAGAUCACAUAGAACAAGUGAUUGCAAUAUCAAACUGCAAUCCAAUAUAUAAUCACAGCAAAGAUCUUCCACCAAAACCACGGAACUAAAACCAACAACUUAAUCUAAAGAAUAGAAUUCAUUGAAAGAAGUGUCUAAAGUGCCUUUUUGAGACUUCAUUAAAUGCAGGAAUCAUAUUAUGUUUUCAAAAAUCAAACAAGAAACAAGAAGUUGAUGCUUUUACAGGUUGGACUCUUUCAUGUCAAACAAAAACAAUGUUAACAUCAAAAUUCACAAGGGACUUAAUCCCCUUUGCUACUUGAACCUAAGGAUUUUUAGAAUAUAUAUAAACUCCAAGUUGUUCACUUUUCCUCAUCUAAACUCCAAGUUCCUCACUUUUCCUCACCUAGUUUGUCAGCACUGCAACAGUAUAUCAUACCCUGCAAUCAAUGUAUUUACAAUAAAAAAAAAUAUAUAACAAGAGGCUUAAAUCACCAGAAUUUCAAAAUUCAACCUAAAUCCAUUCAUAAAAAGAAAAAGCAAUCCUAACAUAUAGUACAUUCUCAAAAAAUGGAUAAUGCCAAUUGAAUAACUUUGCAACAAAUAAAGCAAGCACACAAAGAAAUCCCUAGUGUAUUAUGAUGAAACGUCUGCAGAAAAGAAACCCUCAACAUAAUUCCACAAAACCCUCAAAACCCAGAGCAGAACUCCACAUAAAAGAAUAAAGUAAGCGUCUUCCUAUACAGAACGUACCGCAAAUCUUAAUGGGGGCUUCCAGCUCCAGCAAAUUAGGCUGUUGCAUGAAGAUAUCUCGAGAAGCCAAACAUAGCUGCUUGAUCUCAGCCUCCGAGAGCUGCACCUGCUUACCUGGCCUCGCUGAUCGAACUUCCGUUAGCCGUUUGAUAAUAUCAUCCAGUACGGCAGGGUCCAUCGACGCCUGCCCUUGUGUUGCCAUCGGAUCUUCUAGUUCUGCUCCUCCUCUCCUAAGCCCUGAUGUCUCCGAGAAAAAAACCCUAGAAAUCCAAAUGGCUAAACAGUUGUGACUAUUAUUUGGUCUCCUAGUCGUUAUUGGUUUCUCUUUUAAAGUUUCGUGCCUUGGUAUGUUGUGCGUGUUCGAAUAACUCUCACUGGUCGAUUGGUAGGGCAGAAGAGAGAGAGUGAGAUAGAUAGAUAGAGGAGGUAUUUUCUCGGGAAAAGAGAGGGAAAGAGGAGGAAAAUAAUAAAUUAUAGUUUUGUUUAUAUAAGUCCGGAAGGAGAAAAGAAAAUAGAUAAAGAGGAGCCGGCUGCAAUUUCUAUGCGGCGGACGUGCCAAUAAUUUUUUCCGACUAUUUUAUUUUUUAAACUUAUUAUGUUUAUAUAUAUAUAUACAUAUUAUUUUUAUUAAACUAUAAUUUAUUAAUUUACUAAAUAAUCAUUUAGAAAAUCAAUUUAUUUUAUAACUUCAAAAUGUUUGAUUCUCCAAAUUGAUGAAUGUUCCAAGGGUAUAUAGAUGGUUGUUGGAGUUGUAAAAAAUAUAUUUUUAAAUACACAAAAAAAAUUAUAUUAAAUUAAUUUGGAAAUUAAAUUUAACAUUUUAGUCAUAAAUAGUAAUAACAAAAUUUUUAUUAAUAUUUUAAAUUUUUUAGCAACCAAAGUUUAAAAGGCAUUGAAAAAUUAUUUAAUAUCUCAAAAUAUGUAUGCUAUCUUUUAUAUAUAUGAAAUUUAUGUAUUUUAAUUUAAAAUUAAAAGAAUAUAAGAAAAUGAUGUUUAUAUAAUGCUUUUUAAUUUUGACUUUUCUGCCAACACAUAACAAAUUAUAAUAAACCUUAAUCCAAGUCUACACAAACCUAAAUUGAUUCCAACAAUUAUAAUCUGAUUUUGAUCAAAUUAAUUUAUCAAGAUUUUUUAAGAGAAAAUAUUUUCAUUAACAAAACAAGUGACAAAAAUAUUAAUAAAUAUCUCAUAAAAAAUAUAUAUAUAUAUAAUAAAACUCAGUUGCAAUUUACAAUAAUAUAUUAACUGUAAUAAUUUUACUUUCGAAUAUUUAUUUUUGCCUUGCCCUUCCCAUUAAAAUAUAUUCCCUUUCUAUGGUUUUUUUUUAUCUUUUAACCAACUAUAUUUAUUAUUUUUAUGUGAAGUCCAUGAAAUUGUGCCCAUACUCUUGUGUAUAAUCUUGUUAUACUGUCCCACUUGCAUGGUUUUCUCCAUUUUCUAAGUGUUUGUAAUCAUUGACUUUCUAUUUGCUUAUCACUAUACAUAUCAUCAUACUCCCACUCUCACGAAAAAAGGCAUCGUCUCUUUUUGAGAUGUUACAAUACCGUCUUGCACUGUCCCUCCAGAAGAAAGAUAUUAAAAGAAAAGAAUUUUCUCAAAAAGAAAGACCUCAAAGAAAAAGGUUUCACUAAGAUAAAUCCGAAAGGACAGACCACUAAAAUCAAGUCGGAAGGACAAGACUCGAAAGAGUAAACCAUUAAGGUUUUGUCGAAAGUGUAAGGUUGAAAGGGCAACCUAUUAAAUUUAGACUUGAAGGGUAAACCACUAAAAUCAGGUCGAAAGGGUAAGACCCAAAAGAAUAGACCACUGAGGCUAGGUCGGAAGGGUAAAACUGAAAGCGAAAACCACUAAGGUCAGGCCAGAAGAACAGACCACUAAGGUGUCAUGUUAUAUGGGCAAGGCCAAAAGGAUAGACUAUUAAGGUCAGAUCUUUCAAAAUAAACACCGGCAAGGUCAGAUCUUUUCAAAAGGAAGACCAUUAAGAUCAAACUUUUCAAAAGGAAGACCAUAAAAAAUUUUCCAAAGAAAAAACACUAAGGUUAGGCAUUCCAAAAGAAAGAUAUCAAAAAGGAAGAUUUUAUUGAAGUAACACCCAGAAGGGCAAACCACUAAGAUCAAGCUGAAAGGACAGUCUACUAAGGUUAAGUCAGAAGGGCAAAAACUAGAAGGGCAAACUGUUAAGGUCAUAAUGGUAAGACUUGGAAGGACAAACCUGUGAGAUCAAGUCGAAAUGGUAAGGACAGAAGAGUAGACCAGAAGAGUAGACCACCAAGACAAACUUUUCAAAAAACCAGUAAGAUCAGACCCCUUCAAAAGGAAGGCCACUAAGGUUUGACCUUCCAAAGAGCAGUUAACCAAUGUCAUACAUUUCAAAGGAAGAACACUAAGAUUAGACCUUCCAAAAAGAAGACCAUCAAGAUCAGAUCUUCUAAAAGAACAGACCACCAAAAUCACACCUUGCAAAAAAAAAAAUAACAUUAAAAUUAGAUAUUCCAAAAAAAAGACGACAUUCUAAAAUAUAUAUAAUAUAUUUGUUACAAAAAAAUAAAAUCUUAAUAUAUUUAAAUAAAUAUCAAUGCAGCACCUCAGGGGUUUAAGGCUAAUAUUAUGCAAGAGUGAGCAUAAAAAUCAAACCGAAUAAAACCAAAAAUCAUUAAGUAUGGUUAAAAUCGAAUCGAGCCGGAGGAUAAAUCAACCUAAAUAAAAUCAAUAUAAUUCCAUUUAAUUUAAUUUAAUUUAAUUGAUUAGAUUUUUUUUUAUGAACUUUUUAUUCUCUACACCUUGUUUAUAAUGUUCUAAAGUUUAAUUAAAAUAUUUUGACUUUAAUUAUAGCGUGACAUCUCUGUAUUACCAAAACAAUAUGGUAGUAUUAAUUAUUUGAUCCGGUUUAAUUUUAUAAAUUUAAUUGAAAUCAUCAUAUUUUGAAAAUUAAAACUUAACUGAAUCGAAAAGAACAUACGGAAUUGAGUUUUUAAAUUAAUUCAAUUGAAGUAAGUAAUUUCAAAUUGAUUCAAUUGAAGUAAGCUAUUGUAAAAAUUGAAUAUUAAGGAUUUUAGCCCCUAAAAUCAAGUUAAAACUAGUAUGAAUUGCCCUAAUUAGGUAGAUAAUUAUGAUCAAAUGCUUAAUGUCCUUUUGAUAUGGGUUGUGGUUGGCUAGCUUCACACAUAACAAAAUUUUCCAAAAGUGGCAAGCCUAAGGCCUAUGGCUAGAUUGAGAUGCUUCACUCACCCAAAUGCAAAAGAGAUGGGUCCAUUUUGUCUCUCCUUUUAUAAGACUUAAAAUUAUUUAAUAUUUUAAUUUUAAUAUUAUAAAAUAUUCAAAUCUAAACUUAAAAUUUAUUAAAAAUUAUUAUUUAAUAAAAAAUUUACUAAUUAGUAUUUUGAUAUUAAAAAAUAAAAUUAAAACAUCUUUAAUAUUUUUUAAAAAUUUAUUAAUUAAUCUAUUUAUCAAUUUUAAUUAUUAUAAAAAAAAUCUAAAAUACUUUUAAUAUAGAAAGAUUAAUUUAUAGACAUUUUUAUAAAAUAGAAAAAUCAACUAAUAAAUUUUUUAUAUUAUAAAAAUUAAAUAAUAAAAUAUUUAAUGGUUAAUAAUAAUAAUUUUAUUGAUUAAUAAGAUUUUUUUCAUAUUUUUUCAUAUAUUAAUAUUAAAUAAUUUUAAGGUUAAUAAAAAUGUAUAUAAAAAAUAAUAAUUAAUACUAUUGUAAAAUUUUCAAAAUGACACAUAGAUUUAAGAUAAAAUAUCAAUGGUAAGAAUUUAACUAAAACUAAUUUAAAUAAUUUUUAAAUGUAUUUUUUAAUUUAAAUCAUAUCUAUAUUUAUAUAUAAAGGUGAAUUCUAAAAUAGAUUAUGGAUGGAUCGAUAAGUGACAUGUUUAAAUUUAUAUAAUUAUACAUAGUGAAAUAUUUAAAUUUAUAUAUUUGUGUUUAUUUUUAUUUUAAAAUUAUAUUUUUAUAUUUAAUAAUAUUAUUAAUUAAUAUAUUUAUAAUAAUAAAAUUUAUUAUUUUUAUUAUUAUAAUUUAUAUAUGACUUUUAAUUUUUUUUAUUAAAAGGUACUUGACUUUUUAAUAUAAUAUAUUAAUCAUAAUAAAAUAAAAAUUUUAAUAUAUAUAUUUUACUUUUAUUUUUAGUAAAUANNNNNNNNNNNNNNNNNNNNNNNNNNNNNNNNNNNNNNNNNNNNNNNNNNNNNNNNNNNNNNNNNNNNNNNNNNNNNNNNNNNNNNNNNNNNNNNNNNNNNNNNNNNNNNNNNNNNNNNNNNNNNNNNNNNNNNNNNNNNNNNNNNNNNNNNNNNNNNNNNNNNNNNNNNNNNNNNNNNNNNNNNNNNNNNNNNNNNNNNNNNNNNNNNNNNNNNNNNNNNNNNNNNNNNNNNNNNNNNNNNNNNNNNNNNNNNNNNNNNNNNNNNNNNNNNNNNNNNNNNNNNNNNNNNNNNNNNNNNNNNNNNNNNNNNNNNNNNNNNNNNNNNNNNNNNNNNNNNNNNNNNNNNNNNNNNNNNNNNNNNNNNNNNNNNNNNNNNNNNNNNNNNNNNNNNNNNNNNNNNNNNNNNNNNNNNNNNNNNNNNNNNNNNNNNNNNNNNNNNNNNNNNNNNNNNNNNNNNNNNNNNNNNNNNNNNNNNNNNNNNNNNNNNNNNNNNNNNNNNNNNNNNNNNNNNNNNNNNNNNNNNNNNNNNNNNNNNNNNNNNNNNNNNNNNNNNNNNNNNNNNNNNNNNNNNNNNNNNNNNNNNNNNNNNNNNNNNNNNNNNNNNNNNNNNNNNNNNNNNNNNNNNNNNNNNNNNNNNNNNNNNNNNNNNNNNNNNNNNNNNNNNNNNNNNNNNNNNNNNNNNNNNNNNNNNNNNNNNNNNNNNNNNNNNNNNNNNNNNNNNNNNNNNNNNNNNNNNNNNNNNNNNNNNNNNNNNNNNNNNNNNNNNNNNNNNNNNNNNNNNNNNNNNNNNNNNNNNNNNNNNNNNNNNNNNNNNNNNNNNNNNNNNNNNNNNNNNNNNNNNNNNNNNNNNNNNNNNNNNNNNNNNNNNNNNNNNNNNNNNNNNNNNNNNNNNNNNNNNNNNNNNNNNNNNNNNNNNNNNNNNNNNNNNNNNNNNNNNNNNNNNNNNNNNNNNNNNNNNNNNNNNNNNNNNNNNNNNNNNNNNNNNNNNNNNNNNNNNNNNNNNNNNNNNNNNNNNNNNNNNNNNNNNNNNNNNNNNNNNNNNNNNNNNNNNNNNNNNNNNNNNNNNNNNNNNNNNNNNNNNNNNNNNNNNNNNNNNNNNNNNNNNNNNNNNNNNNNNNNNNNNNNNNNNNNNNNNNNNNNNNNNNNNNNNNNNNNNNNNNNNNNNNNNNNNNNNNNNNNNNNNNNNNNNNAAAAGUUUUAUUGUAUUUUAUUAUUAAAAAGUUAUUGUAUUUUUUAUUUUAAUAAUAAAUAUAAUGUUAAAAAUAUAUUUAUAAAAAAUAGAUAAAUAUCAUAUAAAAAAAUUUAAAUAAUAAAAAUAAAUCAAGUAAAUAUAUAUAUAUAUAUAAAAGUUCAUAAUAAAAUAUUAUAUAAAAAAUUUUUACUAUCUCAUCUAUUAGUUUGUUGAUUUCACAAUUUUUUGAAAUCAUAUCUAAUAUAAUUUAAUUAACAAAUAUUAUAUAAUAAUUAUAUAGAAUAAAUAUAUAUAAUCGAUUAAAAUUAUUAUAAAAAAUAAUAAUUAUGAUAAAGUAUAAAUAAUUAAAGAAUUAAUAGAAUUAAUUAUAUAAAAUAUUAUCAAAUUAAAAUUUUAUUCAAUUUAAAUAAUUUAUAAAAAAAUUUCAAUUUAAAUAAUUUAUAAAAAAUAAAUAAUAAGUAAUUAAAAUAUAAUAAAAAUAAAAUAGUAUUUAUAAUACUCUAAAUCAAACAUUAUAAAUUUUUAACAACUAAGUUAUUAAAUAAUCUCUUUCACUUUUUACAAAUAUGCAACAUUUCAUAUGUUCUUUUUAUAUAAAAUUUACAAGUAUAAUUUUUAAUCGGUUCAUAUUUUAAAAUUAUUUUUCUUAAUAUCAAAAUUCAAUCUUUUAGAUAGAUAAAAGUUGAUGAGAUUUGAAUUCUUUGAUUCAAAAUGACUGUUGGAUAGAUAAAAGUUAGAUAAGAGUUAUUCAAAUAUUGAAAUUUUUUGAUUCUAAGUGAUUCACUCUUUCACUAUCACCAUCACUGCAGCCACCGCUGUUCACAGUUAUUGAAAGGUUAUAAUGGCAGGUUUAGAAGAAGAAAGGUUAUCCAUUGAAGAACAACAAAAGCAAGAACAAUGUGGACGAGGGACAAGCUUAACUAAACAAAGAUCAUUUGAUUUGGAGGCAGAUGGAGUUACCACCUAUACUGAUCGUCAUGUAUAUAUAUGAUAAACUUCUUGUUUGGAGUUGAUUUAUGAUUAGGAUUCAACUAAUGGAAUUUUUUUUUUUGUGGGUCUGCAGAAAAAAGAUUGGAGAACAAUCUUGAAGCUUGCAUUUCAAUGUAUUGGUGUUGUUUAUGGUGAUCUGGGUACAUCUCCGUUGUACGUUCUGCCUGGAAUUUUUCCUGAUGGGGCCGAGAACAAGGAGGAUGUCCUUGCAGUGCUUUCUUUGAUAAUUUACUCCAUUAUUAUAAUCUCCUUGAUUAAGUAUGUAUUCAUCGUUCUAUCUGCAAAUGAUAAUGGGGAUGGUAAGCUUCAGCUUCUAUUAAUUCCAAUUUAUUGGAUAUGAAAAAGUUUCUAAGUUGUCAUCCAUUGCAGGAGGAACCUUUGCACUCUAUACUCUGAUAUGUCGUCAUGCAAAGGUCAGUUUGAUACCAACACAGCAGGCUGAAGACAAAGAAGUGUCCACUUAUAAGUUGGAUUUGCCAAAACACAGUACAAAGAUGGCUUCAGCUCUCAAAACUUCACUAGAGAGCAGCCUUAUAAUCAAGUACUCUCUAUUGUUCACAACCAUGGUUGGAGUGUCCAUGGUCCUUGGAGAUGGCAUUCUUACACCCUGCAUAUCUGGUAAAUAAAUAAAAAUAAAGUCCUUGCCUUCUUUGUUUGAAAAGAAUAAAAAUUUCCAUCCUUCAAUUUCUUGUACAGUAUUAUCUGCUGUUGGAGGUAUUAAGGAGGCUGUUCCUAAUCUUUCAGAAGAUGUAAUCAUGUGGAUCUCAGUGGUGAUUUUGAUUUUAUUGUUCCAAGUUCAGAGGUUCGGAACUCAUAAAGUUGGCUAUAGUUUUGCUCCAAUUCUCGUCUUGUGGUUUGCUUUUAUUGCAUCUAUUGGGCUUUUCAACUUCAUCAAGCAUGACCCUGGUGUCAUCAAGGCUGUCAAUCCAUGGCACAUUGUGAAAUAUUUCCAGAGGAAAAAGAAGAAUGCUUGGAUUUCUCUUGGAGGUGUCGUUUUAUGUCUCACAGGUACAGAUCCUAAUGUAGUGAUAUCAUGGAGUUUAGAAUGAACCCUUGAGAUUCUAGUUUACUUGACCCUUUUUCACUUGAAUAAAAUUAGGUUCUGAAGCUCUAUUUGCUGAUUUGGGCCACUUCCAUAUUCACUCGAUUCGGUUAAGCAGUUGUGCUCUGAUCGUUCCUUCUGUCUUGUUAGCCUAUAUGGGCCAAUGUUCCUAUCUCAGUAAAAAUACAGAAGAUGCUGCUAAUUCCUUCUACAAAUCAAUCCCAAGUAUGUGUGAUUUUUACUAGACCUGCCUUAUAUUAGAUUCAGUACUUAUUCCAAAUUUUUAUUGAUGCAGAAGCACUAUAUUGGCCACAGUUUGUUUUGGCAGUAUUGGCUUCGAUAAUUGCUAGUCAGUCAUUAAUCUCUGCGUCCUUCUCUAUUAUCCAACAAUCUGUUGCUCUGGGGUGUUUUCCACGAGUUAAGGUUGUGCAUACAUCUUCAGAACAUGAAGGACAAGUGUAUGUGCCUGAGAUAAACACUCUUUUGAUGUUGGCUUGUGUAGGAGUCACUCUUGGCUUCAAAAAUACUUUAACGAUUGGCAAUGCAUACGGUAAGGUUGUGAUUAUGUUACAAUAGUUUUUAGCAUAUAACCAAUUUAACACUUUUUCUGCUUUCUUGCAGGAAUUGCUGUAACAUUUUGUUUCGUGAUUACAUCUUCAUUUCUGGUUCUUGUUAUGGUUAUGGUAUGGAAAACAAAUAUCAUUCUCAUAAUCAUCUAUGUCCUAACCAUCGGUUUCAUUGAAAUGUUAUUUUUGAGCUCUACAUUGUACAAGUUUGCUGAUGGAGGGUACAUUCCAUUACUCUUUGCCUUCAUUAUUGUCUCCAUUAUGUUCAUAUGGAACUAUGGCUACAGGAAGAAGUAUAUGUACGAGCUCAAAAAUAAAGUUCCAAUUGAAACACUUACUGCUAUAGUAUCUAAUGAGAGGAUUUGUCGAGUAGAAGGUCUUGCUUUAUUCUAUACUCGGCUUGUUCAUGGCAUAUCUCCUACAUUUACUCACUAUGUGUCAACUGUUCCUGCAUUGCAUGAAGUUCUUAUAUUCGUUUCAAUCAAGUCAUUGCCCGUCAGUAAAGUUCCAGCUGAGGAAAGGUUCUUGUUUCAGCGAGUAAAGCCUGGGGAGUUGAUUUUUCGAUGUAUAGUUAGGUACGGAUACAAGGAUCAAAGGAUGGAUCAUAAGACAUUUCAGGAGAUGCUAGCAGAUCAAUUGAAGGCCUUCAUAGAGGAAGAUAACUGUGAGGAAGAUAGGCAAAGGGAAUUGGCAUUGGUUGAUAAUGCUUUGGAAGAUGGUUUUGUUUAUCUAAUGGGUGAGGGUGAGGUGAUGGCUGCAAAUGGAUCCAGCUGGGUUAAGAAAUUGGUAGUGAACCACCUCUAUAAUUGGUUAAGCAGAUGUGUGAGACAGCCAGAUGAAGUUUUCUUAAUCCCUCAUAAGCAAUUACUCAAAGUGGGAAUGACAUACGAUGUGUAGAGAUUCAGCUAGUUGAAAUUACCUGAUAGGAUUGGAUUUUGGGAAUCAAAACUUCCUUAUUUCAUUUGAGUGUUUACUUUUAAAUUGCUUGUUUUACAGUGUGCAUCUGUGUUGAGGGUAGCUUUGCUAGAAAUUGAUUGUAAUGGUUGGAUUUCAAUGACUAUAGACAAUUGAGACUCUCCCACCUCACAUUUGCCAAUAAAAAAUUGAGAUGGUCCCUCUAAAAUUUAUUUAAUGCCCUAAUAGUCUGAAAAAUAAUAUUAUCAAAAUCAUUUUUUUCCUUCAAGUUCACUGGCUUUCUCUUGAAGCAAUUCAUGUUCAACAACCUGCUUCCAGAAUUUAGAUUAUGUUUGGAUUUACGAUGAACUGACCUGUAUUAUCUUAUCUUGAGUUGUGGCCGGCAGAUAAGGAGAAACUAUUUCUUUCUCAUGCUUCAAGCAUCGUUCAACCUAAAUUCACCACGAAAAGAUUGAACCAUCAAGAAAAAGAAAAUUAAGAAUGGACGAAUAACUACACACUAAAUACUGAACAAAAAAUGUAUUUUCAAUACCAAAUACAUGUAAUCUUCAUAGGACUCGUUCUGUAUCCAUUUGUGAGUCCUUCUCUGAGUAAAAUGCAGCACUUUCCUUGAGCAGUGAUGCUUCAAAAUCUCGUUCAUUGGUUCUAUUCCCAUUUCUACAUAGAUUGUCACAGUACUUUUCACCAAGUCCUGAUCAAUUACUUCUCCAUAGUUGUUUGAUAAUAAUUUUAGCAAUUGUAACCACAAUUUUAGUCAAUAAUUUUAGUAUGAAUACAGUUUCAAAUUAACAAUCUCUGAGGCAAGUCCUGCAAGACCCACAUUCUUUUUGCUCUUCUUGCCUUUUCAGGUCCUUCCAGGUAAGUUCUUCGGGCAUGUCUCUUUCAGCCCUUGAGUGCUUGAAAAUGGCCAAAUGGGUUUUGACCAAAGCAACAAUUAUCUGACACCCCGUUUGCACAGCAUUGGGACACUAGAGAUCUUAAAUUGAAGAUGGAGGGGAGAAUGGAGAGCUGGCAUAAUGAAGCUCCAGCCCAUAUUUCUGUUUUUCCUUUUUGUAGAUUCUGGUAAAGAUAUAGAGUUGGUUGGUUAGCUCUCGCUGCGUUUUGUGGUCGAUCCACCUUGAUCUUUUGGAACGAGCUAACAAUAUUUUCUCUGCUUUGAUUCAUCUUUCUUUAUUGAACAUUAAUCUAUUGCGUUCUGCAUUUUUCAGUUUUUAAGUUACUGUUUAUACUUUGUUCUAAUUUUCCAGCAAGGAGUAGGUCAAAGUGGCACCCUCUUCGCCAUGGCAGACGAAAAUACUAAAGAAUUCUGUACCUGCAAGCCCGUGACAGCAAAGAUAUGGAGAGCAGAACGACAAAGGAACAGCUAAAAACGCUGCCAGAUUUAAAGUGUUUGCCGUGAGUCUAAAUCAGGCACUAGCAAUAGGAUAGAGAAUCUUUGUAAAAUAAGGAACCGGGGUGAGUACGCUGUUUAAUAGUCUUUCUAAAUAAAUUUACCUUAAUUAAUACCUGUAAACUUAUUUCGGAGCUUACCCAGGAUUACAAGCAAACAUUAUUCCUUCACUGUCCGCAGAGCCUAAAAUAUUCCAGAAAAAAGUGAUCCAGGGACACAGUUUCAAGGCUUCAUUUGAUUCCUUCCUCUUCAGUGAGGCAAGUCCAGUAAGGAUAAGGGAUUAAAGACAUUUCUUGCAAAUUAAGAAAGUCCAAUAAUCCAUCAACAAAAAUUAUGCAUAAAGAUGUGGCAGGAUCACCCUCUUCAUAACUUGUAGUCAGGAACAGUAGAACUCCUUACCAAACCAAUAAGGAAGACGCAGAACAAAUAGUCUUGUCCGCUUGCCAUUGUCUCCAAAUUCCCAAAAUGGCCACGGCUUCAGGAGCAUCCAAAUCAGCAGCCUUCUUGCUCUCAAUUAUAAAUAUUGCCCUGUAUUUCAUCAUUAUAGUAAUUGCUUCAUGGGCUGUAAAUCAUGGGAUUAAAAGAACUCGAGAAACAGGUAAAUUCAGAUAUCUGCACACAGAAAUGUUUAGUUUAUCAGCAACAAGCAGGUAUUAACAAGUUCUUGCCUCUGUGCAUAUGCAGCCUCUGUUUUAUCAAUUCCUGCCCGCAUAUUUCCAAUAUACUUCCCAAUGGGAAACAUGGCAACAGGUUUCUUCAUCAUUUUCUCCCUUCUCUGUGGAGUAGUUGGCAUCGGUACCUCACUUACAGGACUCCAUAAUAUUGUUCAAUGGAACGUUCCAAACUUACAUGCGGCUGCUGCCUCCUCCGUGACAUCCUUGUCCCUCACUCUGCUAGCGAUGGGGUCGAUAUUUAUGAUCAAUUUUAUGUUUCUCUUUGUUCACCUGCUGUUAUUUUAAGAUCUUAUUCAUGUUUUGGUUGUUUGGUUUCGCAGAUUGGCAUGUAAAGAGAUUAACGUAGGCUGGACAGACUCGAACUUGGUAAGUUCAAAACUUAUUAAAUGCAAGAAGAAAGAUAUUUUCAGAGUAAGUUCUGACGGUGACAUUGCUGUGUCGACAAACAGAGAACUCUUGAAGUUGUGACGAUAAUAGUGAGCGCUACCCAAUUGUUCUGCACCGGUGCUAUCCAUGCUGGGGUUGGAGAUGUUACUGCUCGAUACGGGGCAUAAUUAACACAUAAUUUCCUAUUGAACUCUGCAUAAUUGUGAGAGAAGAUGCAUUUGUGUAUGAGAGUAUUGAAUAAAGAAGCUUAAUGGUUUGAUUUGCCAAAUAAUUGUGUUUUGAAUGUUUAUGUAAUUACAAUAAUUAUUUUUAUUAUCUUAAUGUUAAUUAAGCCAUGGAGCACAACUAUAUGUUGUGUUUUUGUAAACGCAAUGAUAUUGAUAUGUCGUUCAGAUUUUGGGAAAAGAUUGAAACGAUAUUCUUAAAAAUACGACGUGCCGUUUUUAAAACGAGAAUGCAUUGAUAUUCGCUGUUGUUCACAAAUGAUAAUACGACAUAUCGUUUUCCAUAAUUCAUUUGGCACAAACGACAACCGUUUUACUUUUUAAAUUUUAUGUAAAGGAAGAUUUACAGCAUCUACUCUUCUAUCUCUUCAACAACAAUACCAAUGAGCUCCGCUAACAGCACAAUCCUAACGACCAUCCCCCCUUCUUCAUCUGGCAAGUUUCGAAACCCUAAUUUCAAAACCUUAAUUCCGCAAAAUCGCGUUCUUAUUUACGCUAAAUGUCGUCUAAACCAUACACCUACUAUUUGGAUUUAUAAAAUCCCUGCAAGUUUGAAGCUGAGAAGUUCCAGAAUUAGAGCUUCAGUGGACAACCACGGGUGAGACUGGAAACUGGUUAAGUCGCCAACCACCUUUUUGCAUCCUGUUGACCCCAGAAUCAAAUUGGUAAAUUUCAUUUUGAAUUCAAUUCUUGUUUGUAGCUUCAGUCCACUUUUUAUCUUCAUAAAAUUGAUUGUUGCUAAUUUUUUAGAGGAUAAUAUAUUUGCUUUUGCAAAUCAAUCCUAUUAUUUUGCUUAUGCAGAUAUGGCUCUUGGUCUUAGUUGUUUUGCCAGCACGGGCACAUAUAGUAAUGCGUUUUGUAUUGGUGGUGUACAUUGCUCUUCUGUCAAUAUGGAUUCUCCCAAGACAAGUCUGGAUGGUAAAUUCAGUAGUUUGACUUUUUAAAUGCAAAGAGCAGGAUAUAUAAAAAAUUUGCCUCUGGAUAGUUUACUCUUUUGAAUGGUUUUAUAGUGAUACUUAUUGCUGAAUUUCCUGAAUCCUCUUAGGAUCAAUUGGGAAGAGUGUCAUUGCUUUCUGGAAUUCUAUUCGUAAUGUUGGGGCUGGGUGCAGAUAGUGCACCUCCUCUUGUCCAGCCAAGAACUCCACCGCCUGCAAUGAUGGGCUUGCCUAAUCUUCCUGUGUCUUUGGAAGGUUAUUCAUAUUUAAUAAUGAAGCUAGGACCAUUAAAAUUUACAAGGAAGGAUUUAUCAGUAGCAAGCACAGCUGCAUGCUUAACCUUCACUGUGAGUUCCUUUCAUAUCCUUAGAUCCUCUUUGUCUCUCCAUGAUAAUUAAGUUCUUGUGAACCUUUUUCCUGUGGCAUUUGAGGACAUGAAUCAUUCAUGCAUGUACAUGUGCACUCAGACAUGAUUAACAUGGUCCAUAUCUCAGAACCUUGCAAAAAGUUAUCUCAUGGGUUUUAGUAAGCAUUUUUUAGACAAACACACUCUUGUUCACUCUGAGAGCUGGUCUUUGUGUUUUUUGAUAGAUUUUCCAAAGUGCAAGCCUCUGCCUGGCAACCACAACUCCAGAACAAUUGGCAUUUGCAUUGCGGUGGUUUAUGCUUCCUUUGAGGUGUAUUGGUGUACCAGUGGCUGAGAUCACUCUUACCCUCUUUCUGUCUUUGAGAUUCAUCAAUCUAGUGUUUGAUGAGGUAAGAGAAAGAUCAGUUGAUUAGUUAAUUAUUUGUCAAAUAAACUGCAGACUUUAAAUGUUUGCUGUUGAUCUCUUUGAUAAUUCAACAGGCUUAUUGAAAAUUGUAACAUUGAUUGCCCUCGUAUUCAUUUUUCGUUUUUUCUGUUUGCAGGUACGCGGAGUUGCACUAGGGAUUGUAUCUCAUGGGAUAAAUUGGGAGCAAUUGACAAUCAUGGAGACAAUUGAUAGUAAGCACACAGUUCUACCAUUUUAUCUUCCGAGAGAAACAAGAAUAGAGAAGGGGGUGAGGGGAGGUAGGAUGGGAUCUGGGUUCUUUAUUGCUGUAUAAUAUUUAAUUUAGAGGCUGUUCUCAAAUAUAAGUUCUUUCAAACUCGAUGAAGAAGGCUUUUAGAAUCUGGUCAUAAUGUAGCUCUUCAAUUACAUGAUAUUUGUGUCGCAAAGAGAGAUGUGAAAAGAACAUAAUUUCCGCUCCUCCAUUACAUGUGUAGUAUUUCAUGCUUCAAUGAUAAGGUAAUUGGAGUUGAAUAUGAGCAUUCACUUGAGUAUCUAAUGCCAAUAAGUCGUGGUCUAACAAGUUGGAUUCUAAAAUAGGCUAUGGAGAAAUUGACAAGUGGCAUGUUUAGAUUCAUAUAAUUAUUUCAAAGUGACACUCUUACACUUAUAUAUUUGUGCCAAGUAGCAUGAUAAAGUUAUAUUUUUAUAUUUAAUAAUAUUAUUAAUUAAUAUGUAUAUAAUAAAUAAAAUUUAUUAUUUUUAUUAUUAUAAUUUAUAUAUGAUUUUUUAAUUUUCUACCGGUACUACGAGUUUGUGAUUUUUAAGAUGUGACUUUUUAAUUUCUUAUCACUUUUUUACUAUAAUAUAUUUAUUAUAAAAAUUUUAACAUAUAUAUUUUAUUUUUAUUUUUAAUAAUAAAUAAAUUGAAAAAAUAUUAUAUCUAGUAUUAUUAAUUAAUUAAUAUAUUUUUAAUUAUAUUUUUAUUAUUAGUAAAUAAUAUAUAUAUAUAUAUAUAUAUAUAUAUAUAUAUUUAUUUAUUUAUAUACACAUAUAUAAUUANNNNNNNNNNNNNNNNNNNNNNNNNNNNNNNNNNNNNNNNNNNNNNNNNNNNNNNNNNNNNNNNNNNNNNNNNNNNNNNNNNNNNNNNNNNNNNNNNNNNNNNNNNNNNNNNNNNNNNNNNNNNNNNNNNNNNNNNNNNNNNNNNNNNNNNNNNNNNNNNNNNNNNNNNNNNNNNNNNNNNNNNNNNNNNNNNNNNNNNNNNNNNNNNNNNNNNNNNNNNNNNNNNNNNNNNNNNNNNNNNNNNNNNNNNNNNNNNNNNNNNNNNNNNNNNNNNNNNNNNNNNNNNNNNNNNNNNNNNNNNNNNNNNNNNNNNNNNNNNNNNNNNNNNNNNNNNNNNNNNNNNNNNNNNNNNNNNNNNNNNNNNNNNNNNNNNNNNNNNNNNNNNNNNNNNNNNNNNNNNNNNNNNNNNNNNNNNNNNNNNNNNNNNNNNNNNNNNNNNNNNNNNNNNNNNNNNNNNNNNNNNNNNNNNNNNNNNNNNNNNNNNNNNNNNNNNNNNNNNNNNNNNNNNNNNNNNNNNNNNNNNNNNNNNNNNNNNNNNNNNNNNNNNNNNNNNNNNNNNNNNNNNNNNNNNNNNNNNNNNNNNNNNNNNNNNNNNNNNNNNNNNNNNNNNNNNNNNNNNNNNNNNNNNNNNNNNNNNNNNNNNNNNNNNNNNNNNNNNNNNNNNNNNNNNNNNNNNNNNNNNNNNNNNNNNNNNNNNNNNNNNNNNNNNNNNNNNNNNNNNNNNNNNNNNNNNNNNNNNNNNNNNNNNNNNNNNNNNNNNNNNNNNNNNNNNNNNNNNNNNNNNNNNNNNNNNNNNNNNNNNNNNNNNNNNNNNNNNNNNNNNNNNNNNNNNNNNNNNNNNNNNNNNNNNNNNNNNNNNNNNNNNNNNNNNNNNNNNNNNNNNNNNNNNNNNNNNNNNNNNNNNNNNNNNNNNNNNNNNNNNNNNNNNNNNNNNNNNNNNNNNNNNNNNNNNNNNNNNNNNNNNNNNNNNNNNNNNNNNNNNNNNNNNNNNNNNNNNNNNNNNNNNNNNNNNNNNNNNNNNNNNNNNNNNNNNNNNNNNNNNNNNNNNNNNNNNNNNNNNNNNNNNNNNNNNNNNNNNNNNNNNNNNNNNNNNNNNNNNNNNNNNNNNNNNNNNNNNNNNNNNNNNNNNNNNNNNNNNNNNNNNNNNNNNNNNNNNNNNNNNNNNNNNNNNNNNNNNNNNNNNNNNNNNNNNNNNNNNNNNNNNNNNNNNNNNNNNNNNNNNNNNNNNNNNNNNNNNNNNNNNNNNNNNNNNNNNNNNNNNNNNNNNNNNNNNNNNNNNNNNNNNNNNNNNNNNNNNNNNNNNNNNNNNNNNNNNNNNNNNNNNNNNNNNNNNNNNNNNNNNNNNNNNNNNNNNNNNNNNNNNNNNNNNNNNNNNNNNNNNNNNNNNNNNNNNNNNNNNNNNNNNNNNNNNNNNNNNNNNNNNNNNNNNNNNNNNNNNNNNNNNNNNNNNNNNNNNNNNNNNNNNNNNNNNNNNNNNNNNNNNNNNNNNNNNNNNNNNNNNNNNNNNNNCAUAAAUGUUUGCCCGGGAAAUUUUUUUUUUUUUUUUUCAAAGAAAACGGAAGAAAGAAAACAAAAGAAAAAGCGAAGUGAAACAAACAGAAGAGAGGACAAAAUUCCUCUCCAGCUCCAAUCCAUCCCAUUGGUGCUCAAAAAACAUUCUCUCCUCCAAUCUUUCCCUUUCGAUUCUAUACCAUCCACCGUCACUUCCAUAUUCUCCGUCUCAGCAGAUUCCUUCUUCCCCCACAUUUCAUCUUUUUCCGAUCACUCUUAAAGCUCUUUUCCUUUCUUUCUCAAGCUAAGAAUCUCUUUCUCUUCUAGAUUCUUUUGUUUCCCUCUUAUUAAUUCCUCCCUUUUUAAUCAACCAUGCUCUACUGCGUUGUUCCUUCCCUUUUGUUCUUCUCUUUACCCAUUUUUGUUCAUUCUCUUCCUUUCUUUUUCUUCAUUUCUUUCUGUCGUUUUCAUUUCCUUGGGUUUCCUUUGAUUUCAUCAUUUUCUGGUUAAUUCUAUACAUACAAAUAGCUUCCUUUCAAUUCCCAUGGCUCCUCCAUCUUCUUCUUCGUCGUCUUCAGGUGUCAACCAUAUCUCUAAUCCAUGCAUUUAUGGUAAGAUCAACAUCUUUCCUUUUCAUUUUUUUUUCCUUGUUUUCGCCUCCAAUUUGUUUGAUAAUUUGCUUCCUUAACUGUUUCUUUUCUUUGGGUUAGACUUUAAUGUGUGAAAAUUGAUAUAUAUAUAUAUGGUCUAUAUUUGCUAUUGUUUCUGUGGGUUUAUUGGAAUUUUUAUGUUAAGAGGGGACUUUGUUUGUUUAUACGCAGAGAGAAAAUCUCGGUUCAUGAAAUGGCUCAGCAAGAUUUUCAAGAGUGGGUCUAGUCACGGAGGUGGUGGUGGUGGUGGGGGCAGCCGUCAACCACAGCUUGAGGAAAACAUGGUCAGCUGGCGGCCACCAGCUAGAUCUUUGGUAAAUUUUUUUAUGGUCAUUUUCCAUUUUCCUUAUUUUUGUUUAUGAGCAUGUAUCUAUAUAUUCAGCCAAUCAAUGAAUAACAUUUUAGCUAAAAUCAGGUAGAUAUUAUGUUUAAAUUUAUGAAUUUCUUUGGAGAUAUAUAAAUAUCUUGAUGCCGGUAAAAAAUUUACUAUACGUAUGUGUGUGCAUGGUCUGUUAUCAUUGAUGUUAAAGUUGAUACUGAGAAAAAUACUUUUUCACAUAUAUUAGUCAGAGUUAAAUAAAAAAUUUUGAAAAUUUUUCGAGAAUCAUUUAAACUCUAACCCUUAAACUAAUAUAUAAUAAUUAUUUAAAUUUAUAAAUUUUUAAAAUAAUCCCCUAAUCCAAAAACCGUUAAAAUAUAAAAAUUCAAUUUAAUCCUCUUAAUUAUAAUUUAUUGAAUAUAGAUGUGAAUUACUCUAAAUAUUUAGAAUUUUUUUAAUAUUUCUUAAAUUUAAAAUUAUUAUAAGUAUACAAAAAUAAUUCACUUUAAAAAAAAAUUCAAAUUAUCUUUUAUUUUUCCUUUAAUUAGAUAUCAAUUUUAAUAUUAACAUUUCAUUUAAAAACUUAUAAGUGUUAUUAAAAUAUGUAAAUAUUAUUAUAAUUAUAGAUAAUAUUUUUUUAAUAAAAUUUAACUAUAGAAAUUAUGAAAAUAUAAGAAUUGUUAAAAGUAAUUCAAAACUAAUAAAAGAUCAUAAGAUAUUUUUUUUAAUUAAUUUACAAUAUUAUUUAAAUUCCAUACCUAUAUAAAAAAAUUACAUUUAAACUUUUAAUAUAUUUUAUUAUUUUUCUUGUUUUUAUUACAUAUUAUAUUGUAAUAAUUGUAUUUUUUUAAAGAUAUGUUAAAAAUUUUUAAAAAAUUUUUUAAUAUUAAAAUAUAAUCUUUAAAUAAUAAAAAAUAAAAAAAUAUAAAAUCAUUUAUGAUUUUGAUUGAUAUAAAGGAUUUUUCAAUUUAUUAUUUAUUAAAUUUAAAUAUGAAUUCUUCUAAAAUUUUUAAAUAAUAUUUUAUUUAUUUUAUAAAAUUAUUAUAUUCAUUUAUAACAAUAUAAAUUAAUAUAAACUAUAUAUAAAUUAAAUUAUUAAAAUAUAAUAUUAAUAUUAUUUAUUUAAGGGCUUAAAUGACUAUUGUGAUAUUUAUUAAGGGUUUUAUUAUCAUUUUUUAUAGAGAUUUAAUGGUGUUAGAUUUUAGUUUUUUUUGUGUUAUUUUUAAUAGUUUAAAGGUCAAAUGGAACAUUUUACUUGACCGAAACUUAAAUGAUUAUUUGCCUAAAAAAAUUGAUAAGUUGUAACUAUAAAAAAAUAUUAAAAUAAUAAAGUAUUUUUUUAAAGAAAAUCUUAAUGAAACUUUUUUUUUUAAUUCCUAAAACUCAAUUCCAAACGGCCAUGUUAAUUUGGUACUUUAAGCAACCAUAAAAGCCUUAAAAGUUAGUUUUUGUAUUCCUUUGCAACUUGUGAAAUGAAUGGCAAAUAUGCUUGUGACACAGUGCUUUAUAAAUAUCAAUUUAUAUUUGUUCUCCACUUUAUUAAUUCCUUAUGCUACUGAUUUUUUUUAUUGUCUUUUUUAAUAUGUUUCUUUUGAAGGGCUUUUGCUUAUAAGUUAAUGCACCGUAGGUUCUUUGCCAAACAUGAUGCUUAUUUAUUUGGGCCACCAAAAGUUUACUUAAUGUGCAAGCAACUUCUACAACAGGUCUUCCUUUUCAACAAUGAGACGCUUCAAGUUAAGUAGUUAACCACGUAGAGUUUGACUAGUUUGCCAUCAUCUCCACAUGCAAAGGAGCCUGGAAAACAGUUCGUGGCAUUUCUAGACUAAUUAAUAAAGAUCGAUGAUUCUUUCUUUUGAAAAUGUCUCCCUUCACUUGACUUGUGGUUUAGUUGUGUGGGUUACAUCCUAUCUAUGUUGAGAUGAUUACUGAAGCCCUUUAUAUCUUAAUUUUGGCCAAUCAUGUCAGUGCAUUUUGCAAAACAUCAUUUUGGUGAUUGAUCUGCUCAAAGUGCUUGAAAAAUGAAAAGAAAGUGGUUAUUUUAUAGCAAUUGAAGAAGUACAUAAUUUAUUUAUAUCCCAGAUGUUAGUUUAACAUUAUUUUGUAAUUUUGGGUGCUUUGGAGUGCCCGAUUAUGUUCAUUCAACUGUUCCAUUCCAUGUGCAAUUAGAAGGGGAGAAUAGUGCAAACUGAAAAGGAGGAAGUCUGUCUAAUUCAUAAGUGCCAUACAUUGCAAUACUGAAAAUUCUACAUAUUGGUUGCUUAGUAUUUUGCCAGUAAUAAUAAUAAUAAUAAUAAUAAUAAUAAUAAUAAUAAUGAGCUCCUCUACCAUAAUCAGGAUGAGCACUCGAGAGCUGAUAAGCAGAAGGAGAAAGCAGAUCAUGCUGUUGCACUUUCUCAAGCAGAAGAUUGGAAAAGACCAGGUUUGAAGUUUUUAUAUGUUUCAGGCUCCAUACAUAUUAAGUUCACAUUGUCUUCUCUUUGGGCUUGUGUUGAAAAUUGACCCUUUCCCAGGAUAUAGAUGCCGCACAGAUAAUGAUGAAGAUCUAGAUAGGGCACUUCACGAUAGCCUUAAUCCACCUGGAUAUCGUCCUCUUGCCCCUUCUUAUGCGCCUCUACAAUAUUACAACAUAGGUUGUAGGUAAAAUACAAAUCAUCGUUGCGAAGAAUGUGUAGCUUAGUUCAGCCAAAACAUUUUUCUUAGGCAUACAUCAAACUUUAGGUGUUAAUUUGCCUUGUAGUAGAUUUGAUGAGCUGAUUGGGUUGCUGGCUGGUCAAGCGCCAUUUAUAUGAUUUUGCCAGAAUGACUAAUCAUCCUUCUGGCUUUUAAGUUAAUAUAUGACAAUGACUAAACGCCAAUGAAUUAUUUGCUAGUGCGAUGUUGCUUGAUCUAGGUGAAGGCUAACCCUCAAGAUGCAUAUACUAGCUAUGGAAAUAAGUAUUAAGCAAUGAUAUGAAUUGGCUCAAUAUGAAUACAUAUCCUUUGCAUGUUUUAAAUUCACAAAUACGACAGGAUUGCAAGAACAAUCAUAUGAAAUUUAACAUACAUUAUUCACUGGUAAGUCUUUUCUCCCUACUCCAUUAAGGCAGGUUGAGCACAAUGAAGUAAUAGGAAAUAAAGGGCAUACAGAACUAGGAUGACAUGGGGUUAAUUCAUGAGAAAUAGCAGCUCCAGAAUUUUCUGAAGAUGCAGUCUAAACAGAGUGGAAUGGAGGAAACAAAUCCAUAUAGCCAACCCAAUUAAUUUGGGUGGAGACUUAAUUUAGAUUAGUUGUUAUUGUUUUAUUAGUUAACAUACCGUAAGAAGGAAUUUAGAACUUUUAACUUCUCUGCUUGGUGCACCGCCAGGAUGCUGAACUUCUGACUUCCUUCUUAUGAUUAGGGUGGUGUAGCAUUGUGCUACAUUGAAGAUUUGUUUUUGAAUUCAGGUAAGAAUUUUCUAGGCUGUUUGGGGUUCUUGUGACUCCCAUUUUCAGUUUGCUCCAAUAAUUUAUGUAUAACUCUUUUCCCUUGCUUAUUUAAACCAGAAAUAGCUUGUAAGUGGGAAAAAUGAAGAAAAAGGAAUCAUAAGUCAGUUAGAAAAGUUUGAGCAUUCCAAUCUUGUACUUGGUUGGUCAUGAGUGCUUAUCCCUGGAACUUACAGAUUAUUAUGUGGUGGCUGCCAUCGUGACAUUGGUUAUGGCAAUUACCUUGGAUGCAUGGGAAAGUUUUUUCAUCCAGAGUGCUUUCGUUGCUCUUCUUGUGGUUACCCAAUUACUGAGGAUGAGGUAGUUUGUUCCUCUUGGUUUGCAACUAUCUUAAUUUCAAUUUUGGUUUGUCAUAUUUGUCACUAAAUUAAGUGAGUCUAAUGUCUUGAAAAUUGCACAUAAAAGUAAGAAAAUCCAAUCAUGAACUUUAUAUUUUUUGUUUCAUCUAGCUCUUAACUCAAUUUUCUUUUUCUGUUGAUCCAAGUUUUCUUUGUCAGGUAGCGAUCCAUAUCACAAGUCUUGUUUCAAAGAGUUGACACAUCCCAAAUGUGAAGUCUGCCUUCAAUAUGUAAGAGAAAAAAUUGUUCUUCAGUUUCCACUUUAUUAUUUGCAGUUGUUAUAUUGAGACAAAUGGUAGUUUUCCUAUUCGUCCUAUUAACUGCAUUUCUUAACAUCAAUUAUGAACCAGCUGAACAAUUUGAUUAACAACAAAAACAGCAGCAACAACUAACCUUUAAUUUCAAACUAGUUGUGUUGAUUUUAUGGAUUUGAACUAAGUUUCUCAAUUAAUAAUUUGACUUAUUUAAUAGAAGUUCAAUCCUUUGUAUCUGAUAAUAAUAAUAAUAAUAAUGAUUACUCUUGAUAUAAAAAAUUUGCAAUGUGUUUGAAUUUGAUUCAACAGUAUUAUAUUGUUUAUCAGUUAAGUGAAUGUAUCAAAUCAUAGAUAGGAAGAAUGGGCACUACUUGUUGAACAUGAAUGAAGCCAUUGUUAUGGACUGGAUUCAAAAACCAACCAUUAUGCUUGGUCCAGCAAAUUAUGCUUGUUUUGUGGCUUAGAUAUUAUCCACGUACAUUAUAAUAGGCUCUACUAAUAUAAUAGUUUUCACUUCAUAUAUUUUUCAGAUCCCAACAAAUGAAGUUGGUUUGAUUGAGUAUAGAUGCCAUCCAUUUUGGUCCCAGAAGUACUGCCCAUCGCAUGAACAUGAUAACACAGCUCGCUGCUGCAGUUGUGAACGCUUGGAGGUAUUCACCUGAGAUAGCAUAAAAUUUUACGGUCCGAUAGGUAAUCACUUAAUGUUUGGAGGAAAUAUGUGAGCAUUCGAAUCAAUUUUGUCUACCCAUAAUGCUUAUUGGUUAUUUUCCUUGUCUUUUUUAUUUGCUGCCAUCAUGAAGUCUUGGGAUACAAGACACUAUUCUUUGGAAGAUGGACGGAGCUUAUGCUUAGCAUGCAUGGAAUCUGCUAUUAUGGACACUGGUGAUUGCCAACCCCUUUACCAUGCCAUCAGGGACUACUAUGAAGGGAUGAAUAUGAAAUUGGAUCAGCAAAUUCCCAUGCUUCUUGUUGAAAGACAAGCGCUCAAUGAGGCUAUUGUUGGGGAGAAAAAUUUAGCAUGUGACCUCCUGCUAUAUCAUGUGGGUUUGCAUAUGAAAUUGCCCUUACUCAUUUGUGUUCCUUUCCAGGGCUAUCAUCACUUGCCUGAGACAAGGGGUCUAUGCCUUUAAGAGGAGCAGACUGUUACCAGUGUAUGAUAUAAGACAGCUAUGCUAUUAGAUUUUCUAAUAUUAAUGGUGGUUUAUGAGUGAAGAAUUGAAUCCAUACCAAGUUGUUUUCUCUUUCUUUUUUAUUAUACCCAGAUACAGAGGAGGCCAAGAAUUGGUGGUAACCGGCUAGUUGGAAUUAGAACUCAACCACAAAAGGUGACUAGGAAAAGUUGUGAGGUUACAGCUAUUCUUGUGCUUUAUGGUCUUCCAAGGUAACAGUUAGGGUAGUUUUCACUUUAUCACUUUGUCAUUUAUUGGUUGGUGUUAUGCAUCUGGGUUUGCCAAAAUUUCAAUGAAGGGUCAUGGGUUCUUUCCUAUCCGGUAAAAAAAUGAGCUUUCUUAUGUUUCUGCUUUUGGAAAUAUCUCAUUUAUUGAUUUCCCUGGUGGAUACAGACUACUAACAGGUGCUAUUCUUGCCCAUGAGUUGAUGCAUGGCUGGUUACGACUUAAAGGUUUUCAAGCCUAUCCAAAUGUUCUAUGCUUCUUUACUUUUUUUUUUUUCAACUGCACUGUUCAUUUUGAUAAUUUCCUUUCUAACAAUGCAGGUUAUCGUCAUCUUAAUCCCGAGGUAGAGGAAGGUAUCUGUCAAGUGCUCUCAUAUAUGUGGCUUGAAUCAGAAGUAUUGCCAUCAAAAGGCAUGCCAUGUACAUCAAUAGCUUCCUCCUCCUCAUCAUCCUCUUCAAAAAAGAGAGGGAAGUCCGACGUUGAAAAUAAACUGGGCGAGUUUUUCAUGCAUCAAAUUGCCAAUGAUGCUUCACCAGCUUAUGGGGGAGGGUUCAGGGCUGCUAAUACUGCUGUCAAUAAGUAUGGUUUACGUCGCACUCUUGAUCAUAUCCAGCUUACUGGCCAUUUCCUAUUAUAAUACUAACACAAGUUUAUAUGUUGCUUCAUGGUUCAUGCCCUCAUCUCUUCUUUAGCCUGAUUUGAUAUAGUAUUUUUGCUCCUUCAAAAAGAUUUGAGCUCAUUGCGGAAGUUUCAACAAACCCCCACUUAAUUUUUUGUUCUUGGGGUCCUGUAUGACAUACGCCCAAAAAUCUCUUAUAAAAAAAAGUUCAAAUAUUGAUUAUGUUCUAUUACUAUUUAGUCAAGAAAAUUCAUUUGGGAACAAAGCAGGGAGAGCAGAGAACCUUAUUGUAUUCAAUCCCUGAUGUAUUCAAGAUUAUACAAUUACAUUCACUCUGAUUACAUGUAGGUGGAGAAUAUAUGGUGUUCUGAUCUCUCUCCCCCUCCCUAUAUCUGGCUCUGCUGGGCAGCUGCCAUGUCUUCCAUGAUAAUAGUCUUAAUUAUAGUCGAGAGCUUUGGUUAUAUGUGCAGUCCAACCAGUAUAAAGAGAAUAAAUCUCAUAUACUCAAAUAACUACUAUUCUUACAACUCAAAGCCUCAAAAUUUGGUGGAACCAAUCAACAAAAUUAGUUCUCUUCAUCAUCAUCAUAAGAAGAAAAGGUCAGAACAAAUCAUUAUAAUGCCAUCUUUAGGGUGAGACAAUGCCGAAGGCUGCUAACAGUAUUGCAUUUCUAUUAAGAAGAAUAGUUCUCCUUACAGUUACAAGCUUGAACAAACACAUUAAAGAAAUAAUUAGCUUCUAGGGACUUGAAGAUCUUGGACAAACAAAACAAAAUUUGUAGAUAAGAAGCAGAAGCCGUAUCUGCGGAUUGAUUGACUCGUACUGUCAUGAGUUUGGAAGAAUGAUGUUGGAAACUGCAAAAUUCUUCAACUCAGUAUGUCAGUUACAUGUCCCAGUUCUAGAUAAGGUGAUAAGAAACUGGACUACUGAAGGUUGUCCAAUGGUAUUAAUCUUGUGUGUAAAUGUUAGACAAACUGUUUAACGAUACACUUGAAUUAUGAUUAAGCUUUGACCUAUCUACACAGAACAAUAUAAUUCUCAUAGUAGCAUCACAAAAUUAAGCACCAUGAGAAAACCUUGGAGUACAACCGAAAUUGCUAUUGCAUAUAACCGUGCGUUGAUUGUUUCAUUGCAUAUCAACCUCAGAGAUAUGCUCACAGCAACUACAAUUUGGCAGUAACAUCUGCUAAAAGCAAUUUCAGAGUCUCAUAGGUCAUAAAACAAAUGCCAACACCAGGAACGACUUUGUAGUAUUCGGGCAUAAUGCCUCUAUAUAGACCCCAAAAGCCCUCGGUCUGGAUUAUAUGUUUGAAUGUACCAAAAAGACCUGUCGUGUAAACACGGGCCCGGCCACCUGCCCCUUCCAAUUGCUUCCGUCGUCUCACAAGAUCAAGAGGAAAUGUUGCUGCAUGUUAAACAGAAUGCAUCAUUAUUCUUGAACAUGCAACUCCUUUUAACUGGAUUAGAUUUAUGAAGACAACGGAAGCUAAACAGGUCUCAACCGUUCAUAUACAUGUAUGCAUAUAUAGUGCGCACUGGGAAAAGUCGGUCACUUGGAAUAAUAAUCUCAAAAGCAAAUGAAUUACAAAAAAGAACUCCACAUCUGGUAUUAAGAAUUCUAAGCCAUCAGCAUAUAUGAAAUACUGGCAGGAGUAGGCUACCUUGCACUUGCAUGCAAACAGAAAAUGCACCAAUGCAGCUAUUAUAAAUGCAAGUUAUGUUAAUCUCAAACAAACUGAACAUACCGAGUUCUAGCUCACCAUGAGAAUUUGGACUUGUAGCUGCUUCCAGUACAGUUCUGAUUAUCGCUAGGGUCGAUACUUUUGAACACGAGCAAUAAACAUAAGGGAAAGUACAAAAGAGUACCCUAAUAUUUCAGACUUAGAUUUUAGGGACUUGUGGUUCAAAUUUUUCACAAAAUGAUAUCUUAAGCUUUACUUUGUUAGCACUUUAAAGAUAAAUGCUCCAACACCGUUAAUUUCACUAAUGAGACUCUGUAAGUUUAUUAAAAUGAUAUUUUUUAAAAAAAUUUAGAUCUCAUAAAAAACUGAAAAUAAAAAAAAAAAUGAAGUAACAAUUUUUUUGGAAAGGAAAUAUAUUAUAUUAUUUAUUCUACACUGCCACAUUAGCAAAAUUAAUGACACAAAACAUUGUCCUUAAAGUGCUAACACAGAAAAGUUCAGGGUUUCACUUCGUCAUGAAUUGAAUCACAGGUUUGCAUGAAAACCUCAAGGUACUUCUUUGUACUUACCCCGAAUUUCAUUAAAAUUAGGAACAAAAAAUACUUUGUACAAAAAACUAUGGAUUUAACCUUUUCUAUCAAAACCAGUGGGCUGAACCUUGACAACUGCAUCACAAGGCUUGAAGGAUUUAUAUAUCCCAAUUUAAUGCAAUUGCCAAGGAAAUCUAAUUGAGAUGCAUACCUCAAAGAGGACAGCUCUCACAUUUGAUUUCCGAGAGAGCAGUACUAUUUCACCUGAUAGUAAUGCCAUCUAUUAUAGAAUCAACUGCAAUGCUUGGGAAGACAAGUUCCACAUGAAAUGUCGGAGAAGAGAAGUUAAUGCAGUUGAGAUUCUUAAAUAGAAAAAGAAGUUAGAUGAAAAGCAAUGAAACAGUAAAUUUUUUCCUCGACUUCCUUACUAAAAUUAUAAAAUGCAAAAUAUAAAUAACUCCUGUCGGGUCUCUGGCUCUAGGGGUCAGUCUGGUUAGAUGCUUAAUGCAGAGCCUGCACCACACCCUGCUUCUCUGCAUCAAAAGCAUAAUAAACAGCUACAACAUUAACUUCUUUGUUUAGAAGUUGACAUCAUCUAGUCAGACAAAGAGUAGUCCAAUGAAAAGUUUACCAAACAUUGGUAUCUGCUAACUAACAUUUGACACAGUCAGUAAAGUUCUGUGAGAAGUGAAAAAAGUUCUGUAACCUUUACAUCUCCUGUUCCUCUGUCUUGUGAUAAACAUAAGGAGCAGACAUGACAUGGAAAGGGCCAUUAUUCAAAGGGAAUAUGCAGAAAAAAGAUAGGAAUAUGUGCAGGCAUUUUGCAGAAAUAACACAGUAAACAUUAAUCAAGGUUGAAAAACUUGGACAGUUAAUACUUUGCUGAGAUGAACUUUCAAAAGCAAAGACUAUGAUUCAUUUAACAUCACUAGUAAAUCUCGAUUAAAAUUUGCAAGAAGCCUUUCAUUUAAUAUGUUUCAGGUUAAUCACCUGUUGAGGAUGCAAUUCCCGAUAGACUGCCACAAGCCAAACUCACUGCAACAGUAGGAUCAUGAGGCCUGAAACAAAAUAGAAAACUAUAAAGAUUACAACUGAAGAAUAGGUUUGGUGGGAUACUCUUAUGGGAACCAUAGUGUUAUUGAUCCAACUAGGACGCUUACCUGUGCGAUUGCCAAAAAGAUCUUAAAGUCUCAUACACUGAAAAGCUGAUAGCUAUACUGGGUCCGACACCCUGCAUUAGUAUUAAAAUCAAUAUAUAUAUAUAUAUAUAUAUAUGAGAAAUGAUGGGAAUUGUCUAGAGUAAAUCUUAUAAACAUAAACACAGAAUGAUACCAAAAGUGUUGCUCCAAGUCCCUUGUAGAGUCCCAAAACACCCUCCUCUCUGCUAAUUGUUUGUAAUGCAUGCAAUAUACCUCUGUAAUAGAUUACAUUUGUCUGCACAUUUAGAAUAGAAUUAAUCAAUAAACAAGCAUAAUGAACACAUGAAAAUAUAAUUACAAGUUUAAAGAAAAAAAUAGGCUAACGUUUCUUUACACUUUCCUCAAAGAAAUUUUGAAUUAUAAUUUGGGAAAUAAUAGCAGUUUUCACGUCCCUGAGCAUGAAUUAAUGUGUUGACAAGCCACAUAAUGAGCAGGUAAGAAUAAGGAAUCUAUAAAACAUGAUAAUGGGCUGAAUUUAUCAAAGGUUAAGCAUAUCUCGUCUUACCUGAGCUGCAAGGCGGGUUCUUACAAGAUCCAACGGAUAUGUAACAGAUGCUGCUGUUAUUCCAGCCAUACCACCGCCUAUAAAAUGAACGAGGACAUCUCCACCCACAUUUUUCCUGUGGUUUUCUAGUCCCGGUAUCAUAUGUAGCAACUGCAACACAAGUUCACCUCGUCAAAGUUUGAUCAGUAAAGCUUAAGAUUAAGCACUAGCAAUGCAAUCAAACCAUUUUUCCAUAAUCAUUCAUGAAAUUUUAGAUACCUUUUUAUAGUGCUCGUAUGAAUAAAAGUUGACAGAUGAGUAAGGCAACCGAUGAGCAAUUGUGACAAGAUUCCCCUUCCAGAAAGCUCUAACUCCUUCCUCCCUAAAUAUUCGAGAGGCCUCAUGCCAUAUGCUAGCCUUUCUCAAUGUUGCAACAUCAGAGUGCAUACCUUGCACCUGCAAAGAUAAGGUCAUGAAGAAAAUGGUUCUCAAUACAAAGCGUUCCUAAAACCACAUUGAUCAUCCUAAUGUUAAAUCAACCAAAACUAGCAUUCACUAUUUCCACCUGUGAUGAUCCCUUGUGACGAUUGGAGGACUAUUUCAACCCAUGUCUUAAAAUUCCCCAAAUCCAAGCAUCAAGCUAGAAGAAACAUGAACUCUGGAUAUCGCAAAUAACUGAAAAUCUCAACCUAUAGAACCUGCUUUAUUAUAUAUCAACAUUUUUUAAUAAAGAAUAGCUGUUUACCAACAAACUAAUAGCUAAUAACUGCUCAUCACAACUUGUAACAAAAGUUGCCAAAUCAAGUAAUUAACUGCUUAUUCACGCAAAUCAGACUAUCAUACAACAUCCUUUACUCUUUAAUUUGAGUUGGUUCUCAAAACUCCAUCGAUGGCAUGCUCCUCCAGUUUAUCCAUCGAAGAAUUCCAUUACACUUAACACGUAUUCUUAUUGUUUAAAUCAUUAAAAAUAUGGUGGUGUUCAGAUAAGCUCAUACCACUAAGGAAACAAAGAAGGCAACUUUACACCUCAAACAUGGCAAGUUAAGAACAUUAACAAGAAAAUCUUCCCAUAAAAAUUAUCCCCACUCCCAUACUUCCUUAGAAAAAUUAUAUAAAAAAGAAGAUUUCACAGAAAAUUAAACCAUAAAUUGAUAAAAGUAAAAAAGAAAACCUGAAAGAGUAUGGUAAGGCGAGCAAGAGGUGCAGUGCAAGUCUUGCUAAGAGCACCCGCCAUGCCACCGGCCAUGAGCUGCGAAACUGUUCCGAUUUGGGAUUGCUGCUGUUGCACUGGCUUUUGCUGUUUCUUCUGCGAAUUGAGAGUUCUUGUCCCUCCCUCUACCACCACUCCAACUCUCGCCUCUGUCUGCAUCUCUCCCUCUCUCUCUCUUUAUCUCUGCGUUUCCUCUUUCAAAAUUUAAACGUAAAACCCUCUUAUAUUCAAAGAAAAUAAAAGAAGAAUUUGGUUCACCAAUUUAUGAACUAACAGAAACCCACGAAAAAUUUCUUCGAAUAAUUGUUCUCUUUAAAGAGAUUAUUCACUUUUGAGUUCUAGCUUCCGGGGUGACCUCCGCUUAUGGCGCAAGCAAAAGUGACAAAAAGAAGAAGAAGAAGCAACAGGGCACAGAGACUGCGUCGUUUUAAUCCAACCUACCCUUGACAACUAAACCAAAGUCCAAAGAUUCGUCCUUUGGUGCUUGGUCGGUUUUGGACUUUACGCUAUCUUGUAUCAGCUUAUGAUACCCGAAACAGCAUCAGCCGUUGAUAUGUUAUACAAUAGAGUGAUGUGAUUGACUUUGACAUAAGGGUAAGCGAUCUUAACGGUUGAAAUUAAUUCAUUCUGUAGAGAGGGAAGUAGGGAAGUGUUUGGAAGUUGGAAUAAGUGGAAAUUCGGAUUGGAAUAUCCUAUGAAAGUCGGAUUUCGGAUGAAGUACGUUUGUUUGAAAGAUGUCGGAUGCUAGAUUUAAAACGACGGUGCUUUUGCAAGUCGGCUAAUCCUUUUAACUUCACUUGUCGACUGCCACGUGCACACACAAGUUUUUGCCAUAUCACUCGUAUGUACCCUAGGUGCCCUCUUCCUUGAGCUCGAAGAAGUUCAAUUGUUUUUGGACAAAUGCAUGUCUUUAAAUUCGCUAGUUCACUGGCACGCACUAUUUUAAAAUUAUUUAAUUAAAAUAUUUUUAUAUUUUAAAAUUUUCAAUUAUUUAAUAAUAUUUUAUUAAAAUAUUAAUUAUUUUUUAAUAUUUAUAUUAUUUAAUUUUUAUAAUUUUAAAUAUUUUAUUUAAUUUUUUAUUAAAAUUAUAAUUAAAAUAAAUGACUAAAAAAUAAUUUUAAUAAAUAUAAAAAAAUUUUAAUAAAGCAAUCGUAUAUUUAAUUUAAUAAUAAAUUUAUUUAAAUAAAUUUGACAAAUCUCAUUUAAUUUUUAAUUUUCAUUUAAUAAAAAAAAUUUUAAUAGAUUAAUUUUAAAAUAGGAGAUUAAUAAUUUUUUUAAAAAAAUAUAAAUACUUAAUUGUAACUUUUUUAUUAUUUCAUAAAAAUAAUUUAAAUUUUCUUAUAAAAAUUAAUAUAAUGAUAAAAUAUUUUAUUAUCUUAUUUAAAAUUAAAAUAUUAUUAUAUUUUUAAAUUUUUUCACUAUUUUUUUCUUAAACUGAUAAUUACAUUUGUUUUUAUCAGAUCUUAAAAUGAUAAUUUUUCAAAAAAUAAUUAUUUAUAAAUAAAUACAUCAUUUUAUAUAAAUUUAUGAGACAAAUACUCAAAUUUUAAAUAUUUCAAUUUGUUUGAAUAAAUUUAUAAAAAUAUAUUUAUAUUUAUUUUUAAAAUUCUGUUAUAUUUUAUUAAUUUAAUAUGUUAUUCAUAUUUCGAGAAAACUCUUAUUUAUUAUAAUAUAACUAUUUAAAAAAUAAUAAUAAAUAUAAUUAAAAUUUUAAAAAUUAAAUAAUUUAAAUCAAUUAAUAAUUUUGUAAUAAAAAAUUAAAGAGUUAGUGACGAGCAUGUUAAUUUCACGAGGGUUGUAUCAUUUCCCUUCGCUACGGAUCAACUAAUAAAAUUAGGAUGAUUAUUGAAUUGGUUUAAUUUAAAAUUAAAUUAAAUUAAAUUAAAUUAAAUUAAAAAUUAAAAAUUUAAUAUUUUUAAAUUUAAAUUUUUAAUAAAUUUUAUUUUUAAUAUUUUAAAAUUUAAUUAAAAUAUUUUAACUUUAAUUAUUAUUUAAUUUAUUUAUAUAAUAAAAAAUAAUAUAUUAUUAUUAUUAAUUGAUUCAGUUUGAUUUUAAUUAUUAAUUAUUAAUUGAUUGAGGUUGAUUUUAAUUAAAAUUAAAUUGAAAUAAUUAAAAUUUUUUAAAUUAAAAAUUAAACUGAAUUAAAAUAAAUAAAAAAUUAAAUUAAAUUUAUAAAUUAAUUUAGUUUGAUUUGAAUUGAAUAGCCGUAUGGAUAAAAUAAGAAGAUUGCCGAGUUGAAGUUGCAUUAAAAUCUAAAGUGUGUUUUAUACUUUAAGCACAAUUAAGAAAAGCAGAAAACUACAUCCAGAAAAUUUUGGGCAAUCUUAAUAUCUUAACCCUCUAUUGCUUCCCAAACUGCUGGUUCUGUGCCUGUAAACUUGCAGCCGAUGCUGAAUCCAUCAUACUGAUCAUUUCCAAGUUUACAUGGUGAGCUAAGUUCAUGGGAACUGAUCUUGACAAAUCAAUCCCAAUAUUUUGAUGGAGUCCUAAUGCCAAAGAAACUCCAUUGCUUCCAUUGACAGCAGCUUGGUAAUGGCUCGAAGAAUUGUUAAAUGCAUUCCUCAGAUCUCGUCUCUGCAUGGAUAUAUCAGCUAGCUCUUGGUUUCUGGAGCGUUUGGCUUGGAUAUCGUCGGGCUUCUGGGGCUGAGUUGUUUGGAUUUGCGACAGAUUCUCCGCAGAGAAAUCAGGCAGAAGGAAACUGGGAUUGUGGUUGACUGCUUCUAAUGGUGAUUGAGCUUGCUGAGAUGCAAGCUUGUAAACUUCUUCUACCAUUGGUUUCCAAAGUCUAACUCUUGCAUUGAUGAACCAGUUAGAAACCUGCAGAUACAGAGAUUAACUGAAAUGCUAGAAACAAAAUUUUUAGCCUUUCAGGUUGAUUCCUGAUACAUUUGAAGCAAGCAGGCAUGUCUCCAAAAACAAUGGAAGGAAAUUUGAAGUGAGAAAGUCACCUGAGUCCUUGACAGACCUGUCUGUUGAGCAAGAAUCUGCUUUUCUGAGUCAGAGGGAUAGCUGUAAUACAUAAAACAUAAUUUCAUAAACUACAUAAUUAACACUUAUAAUCAAUUUCUUUUAACCACAGAAGAUGUUCUAUAUGUUUUUGAAUCACUUACGGGUGCAGGAAGUGUUCGAAUAACCAUUUCUUCAGGACAGCAACUGCAUGAUCUGGGAGUCCUCGUUGUGAUCUCCAAACAGGAUGUUGAAGAAAACUGAUGUUGAGACUUUGAUUUUGGUUUUGCUCAUCAGCUGCCCAGAACCUUGGAAUCCUUUCACCACUGAUGAUGUUGCCAUCAUCAGAAGUCUUGCAUGUGAAAUGAAUUUGGUCCAAAAGGGCAUUCUUCAAGCAAGUGAAAUGCUUUGAAAUAGUUUUGAUAGCAUAACAAAUGUAAGGAGCUGCAUGUCCAAGACCAGCAACAGUUUCAAAUGAAGCAACAGCUGAUUGCAUUUGCUGGCAAUAGAGCUUGUAUCUUCUGUAUACCUGAAACAUAUAACCAGACAACAAAUUUUUCAUGUCCAUAUCUGAAAUUCAUGAUCUUACAACUAGCAAUUUGUGGGUAGAUGAAAAGGGUAUGCCCAAAUUUUUUUUGUAGCCUCUGACUAGGAUUCAAACUCGAUAUCUAGAAUGAGUUAAAAGCUCAUUGGUUAUGUUUGUUAAUUAAUGAAGAAGCGUUCAAUAAUAGAAAUUUGACUGGCACAGUAAUAUCUGCAACAGUUUCAGUUAAAGAAGCAGAAGGAAAGCAGGAAAGAAAAUAAAGCAAAUAAAAACAGAAGAACCCUAAAGGAACAGUACAUUGAUUCAAUAUAUGACAAGACAAGUCAUCUUUUUAGCAAAUGUCUACUAAAUUUACUCAAAUAUCUUGUCCCAAGAAACUGUUGUCCUGACAUUAACAAUCAAAUCACUAGUUUUCAAUAACUCAAUUGGAAGAAAACACUAACAGCAAAGAUUCACAAGCAUCCAUUAUCUUUCAUCAACUUUCUUUUAUACUAAUCUUGGACUGUUCCAUGCAUAGUGUUUGAUUGGCAGUGCAUGUGUGAAGCUUUUUUACUGUACAUGUUUGGAAGAAAAGAAGUUUGAAUUAUGCUGGCCUGUGCAUAAAGUUUCACAUGCCUCAUACACUGGAGAAAUCCAUAUAAAAAAAUAUUUUUUGAUGUAAUUAGUUCCUAUCCGAAAUCAAAUUCAAAAUCUUUCAGUUUUAAAGAUUAAGGUUUAAGUUCGAAGCUGAAUCAAACCUGUUGAUAUUGAAACUAAAAUCAGACAGGAAGUAACUUGAUCAGAAGCAAUAAAGACUGAAUUUUUUCACUUUAAAGCAAGUAUAGCAAAUCAGAUACAUCAAAUUUGAAUUAGAAUCAAAUCAUUAAACUGUCAAUUCGAUUCGAUUUCUGCCCGAAAUUGGACCAACCCAUGUCUCUAUAAUGUACUCAAAAUCAAAAGCCAAAUACUAUAUGAAUAUUUAAUUUUCAAUUAUACAACUAAUCUCAUUAAUUUUCCAAUUUGAAAUAAUAAAAAAUAAUGAGAAAAUUUAUUCACGCCAUUUUUUUAAAAAAAUGUAACGUCAAAUAUUUUAGAAUUUAAAAAUGUUUAUAUAUAUAUAUGCCUAAUAAUUAACAUGGUCAUUUACUUAACAAAAUUCCAUUGAAGCUGAGUGCUCAAGCAAGUCUCACAAUAUAUUUUCUUAACAACCAAACAAAAAUAUAUUUGUUGCAUUCAUUUUUUCGAAUUGGGAAAAUUAACAUCUCAUUGAAACAGUUGCAAAGAAUAUUAAUGAGAAGGAAAAGUUAUUAAAUUCUAUAACAAAAUGAAGAAGAAAUUAAUUAACAUACCUCGUCAAGCAUCAAGAUCAACUUUGAAUUCUUCCAUCGAUGCUCUAUAUGAUCAGCAAAAGCAACACUUUCUCGCAUAAUAACUUCACUUUCGUUCAAGAAAUCCAAAGAAAGAUUCAAAACUUCAUAAUUUGCAGUACCACAAAGAUCAUCCAAAAUCUGCUGUGCAGGUUUCAGGAACCUUGAACUUUUCAAGAUUGUUGCAUAGCCAGUAAACGGACCAAGAGGGAAAGAACUUGUGAUUUCGCCAUUCUGCUUCAAGAAAUCUCCAUAAACUGAAACAGCAUUGCAUCUUUGGCUGUCGAGUUGAAAUGAAAGAGACAAAGAUAAACCCUGAGGGUGGUAGCUCAUCAAGUGAUGAUCUUUAGGGUUUUGAAGGGAGGAGAACGGAGGAGAUGGAGAAGGGUUCAUGAGGGUUGGUGGAUUUUGCACUUCUUGGCUGGUUUGAGAAGUGAAACGAAGCUUGUUUCUUCUGUUUUGCUGUGGUACAUGGAAGGAUUCAAAGUUUUCUGCCAUGAAAGGAAAUGAAAGCUUUCUGGGUUUGAGAGAGAAAGAGAGAGAGAGGGAAUGUGAAAGAGAAGUGAUGAUGAUUGAUGAAGGACAAAGGGUUAUGAUAUAAUGAUUAAAUUUUUUCUGAGUUGCAGAGAGUGUGGUUGCAGUGACAGGCCUGAGAGGUCUUGACGUGAAGUAUGGGGGAAGAAGCUUUUUCAAAGAAAAUAAUUUUUGUAAAUCAAGAUUGAAAAUUUUUUUUAUGGGAAAAAUGAAACAUCACAUGAAGUAACAGUUUUAUUACAUUCUGAAAAAGAGAAUUUGAUUUAAUAUUUUAAUACAAAACUGUACUUGGUCAAGUUAUUAUUAGGUUACAAAAUUUCAAUACUAAUCUCUCUAAAUUGCUUUUGUUCAUAUAUAAUUAAUUGAUGUAUUUGGAUAAGAUGAUUUUUUGUCAAAUAAUUUUUUUUCAAAAAUAUUAAAGAAAAAUUUCAAUUUACUUAUAAGUUGAAUAAUUAUUUUAAAGACAUUUUCACCAAAAGGUAUUGUAAAAAAUUAUAUAUUUUUUCUGGAUUUUUAAAUAAAAUCUUCUCCUUAUUAAAACAAAACAAAAAAAAAACUCAAAUACCUUACCAUCCUACCUCCUAGCCAACAACACAAACACACAUAAAUUCAGAAUAUUAAUGGCUGCCGAAAGCCAGCAAAAAUUGUCUAAACAAUUGGUGUUGAAGUCCUUUCCAAUACAGCUCUUGCCAUCUUUCUCUGUAAAAUGAUCCACCAAGAUUAUAAGAAAGCUAAAUAGGAAGUGUCCAAAUUCAUGCCCACUAAGUUUCAAAGCUAUACCCAAACUUCUCAUAGAGUCAGGAACUUAGUCAUAAAAAUAUUCUUCUAUUCAGCUAGAGAACUGACAGAUGCUGGUGGGAUAUGGAAAUUGUGAACAAUUUUUCUGUUCAGUGUAGCUCCUUGCUUGACAAAUUAAGAAUGUUGUGGGUUGAGAUUCAUGGUAGAAUCCCACAUCAUGAGAUUAGUAAAAUAUAUAUAUAAAGCUAGCUCAGGACUAGACUGUUAUAAUUGGUUUAUAUUAAUCAUUCUGAAUCAAAAAAAUCAUGUAGAAAUAAUGAAAAAAAAAGAGAAAUCCAAGACACUAGCAAACAUACUCGGUUGCAAUAAAGCUGGGCCUAAUUAAACCUUUUAAAAAAAAAUUAAGAUCCUAAUCAAUGAUCGAUGAAAUUCCUGAGUCUCACUAUACUUGCAUUGUAGGCCUGCUUGCUGCAUAACUUGUGGGUUGAAACCACAGCAACAUUGAGCAGUGUUGGAAAUUUACUCACCUGAGUUUAUUAGUGUGACCUAAGAGCCUGCCUUAGGUCAUUCAAAGUCUUGGGAACUUCAAACCAAAGAUCAGGAUCGGAAGGAUAAGGUAAUUUUUUUCUUCCUUAUAGCAGCAACCAAAACCUGGAACAUAGGUGUGAAAGGGCUCCCUUCUGGCAACCGAUAUCGUUACUAAGGCCUACCACGAUAGAAUGUUACAAUACUAAAAGCCAUGAUGAUGGCGAGAAUAAGGUAUGCUGCACCCCAGCUCCCGCUGUCUUCAACAUAAACUAUAACCGUAACGCCAAGAAAUAGGCCGCAAGGAACUGAAAAAAAACCCAAGUUGAAGUAUUCUUCUUCCUUUCCUCCGAGUGACCAUCGUCAUCAAAUUGAUCAGCUUCAAAGCUCUCAAGGCAUGGCUUGUGUCCUCCUGUCCCAAGAGAGAGACUGUACAUGGCAAGGAAAAACACCACUACGUGAAUUUUUCUGGGAUUCUGACAUAUGACUGAAUUGCAUGGCUCAGCUUGUCAAGAGGCUUAGACCCUGAAGUUUUAGCGAUAUAUAUAAACCUUUACACACAUGAACCAUAUAAUAAAUUUGAUAUAUUCGAUUGUAGUGUUUAUAUGAAUUAGAAGUUCUUAAAAUAUUUAUAUGUUCUACUAAAAAAUAUUUAUUUAUUUUAAAAUUUAACUAAUAAUUAUUAAUUUAUGUUUUUCAAAAAAUUUGAUAAUAUUCUAAAAAUCAAUGAAACUCAAUGUGUUGUGAUUUAUUUUUAAUGCAUAUCCAAGAGAAAAAUAAAGGAUUGCCCCAAAUUCCCUUAUAGUCUUUAUUGCGAUUUAUUUAAAAUUAUUUUUAUACUUAAAUUAUUUUAAUUUAUUUUUUUGUUUUCUUAUAAUUCAAUUAAAAUAAAAAAUGUUAUUAUAAUCACCAAAAAAAUAUAUUAAUCUAAUGUAAAUUUUAAUCCAAAACCAAUCAUAGCUAAAUAAAUAAAGUUAACUAUUACCUCUAUAAUAUAUAUAUAGUCCUCCUUUAAUUAACCUAUACCAAAUAUAUUUUAAUUGAAAUUGAAAAUCGAGAGUAUUAUAUUUUUUAAUAAUCAACUCAGACUUUUAUAAAUGGAAUAAAUACUAAUCGAGAGUAUUAUAUUUUUUAAUAAUCAACUCGGUGUGAAUAAGAUAAUGCAUUACGUUUCAGUUUCGAGCCUAAACAGCCAGUUUCCAAUCUUUUCUUUCACUGGAUUUAAAGCCUAUAUAUAUUUUUUAUUAAGAAAUUGAGCAGCGGAUGUCUUUUGUCUGUUUAUGCCCAGCACUGAACAAGGCUACUGUGUUUUUUGUUUGAACUUAGAUAGACAUUUGGAGUGGGGGUUCAUGGGUUUGAGGGGCUGCACCUGCUGUGAAGUUUAUGGCCUGAUUCACCUUCUCAAUGAAAGAUCUGGACAAUUUGUACACCAGGCAUCACAAAAUAAAUUAGUACAUCUCAAUCAUUGUCCGAUUACAAAAGUAGUUUUAACGUCCCACCAUCUCAAUGAUGCAUGAUACUAGUGCAUCAUUGUUAGUGAUGUACAAUGGAAAUUCAUUAUUAGAACAGAUUAGGCCAGUGAAAUCAUGUCAAGACAGUGGAGAAUAGGUCAAUUGGGCUGAAAAAUACAUUUUUCAAGUGUAUACACACGACUACUAAGAAUAAGAAACACUACAACAUCACUCGAAGUUAAACAUAUAGGAAUGGACAAGUACCCAUUCCAAGGAAUUACUUAUACUCAUUCAUAUGAUUCCUUACAGUUUUUACACUUCAGCAAUUCAUGUCAAUUUUCCUACAACAUGUAUACAUUUUCUCAAAAUGCAACAUAAGUACAUUCUUAAUUGCCAUAAUUCCUAACAUUUCCUACCAUUCAAUGAAUCAAGUUUAAGAUCUGUCUUAAAUUUGAGAGAACCUUCUUUACCUAAUCAGUUCUUUUGUUCAUUGUUGAUUGUUUGUAAUGAAAUAUUAACCUGCUAGUAUGGCCUCUUGGGAGAGUAUUUUACAGAAGGUGAAAAGGGUCGUGUACCUUCUUUGUCAAAUGACCAAAAAUGAAACUUUUUUGGGAGUUCUGGACUCUUCUUUCUCAAUGUUGUCAAGAUCAGGAUCUUGCUAAUUAGAACAACAUGGUCUGUUGUUCAUAUCACCAGACUGAUUUGCAACAUUAAUUGUAGUUCCUUGAAGUGCAGUUGAUUUAGCUGCUGCCUGUGCUGCCAAAGCUUUCUUGCAAACAAUAUCGUAGACAUCAAGCAGAAUGGUCUGAAAUGCUUUCUCCACAUUCAAGGCUUCCAAUGCUGAAGUCUCAAGGAAUGCAAUGGCUUCCUUCUCAGCCAACAACUGACCAUCUUCCGUUGGGACUGCUCUCAGGUGGUUGAGAUCAGACUUGUUCCCAGCCAUUAUGAUCACAAUGUUGGAAUCUGCAUGGUUCCUUAGUUCACGGAGCCACCUUUGGAGAUUGUCAAAUGUUUGCCUCUUUGUUAUGUCAUAAACCAAGAGUGCACCAACUGCACCUCUGUAGUAUGCACUGGUGAUGGCUCUGUACCUUUCUUGACCAGCUGUGUCCCAUAUCUGUGCUUUAACUGUCUUCCCUUCUACCUGUAUUAAAAUCAACCAAGCUUAAUGAACAAUUAAAUUAUACAAGAAAAAUAACAGGUUUAGGAACUUCAAGCUUUAGAAGCAGCCAGACAAUUGAAAAUUUUGGGUAACUUACUGGUAAUACAGAGAAUGCCUAUCCCAUUCAAGAGGCCAAUAUUUCACAACCCAACAUCACAGAUUCUACUCAUAAUCCAAUUAUGGCAGAAUAUUAUCAAACUCUUAUGCUUUGUUUGGAUGGAGGGAAGAGAAAAAGAAAAGAAAUUUAAUUUCCCAAAAUUCUCUUGUUUGGACAUUAAAUAGAGGAGAGAAAAGAAGAGAUAUGGAGUGAAAGGAGGGGAACUUAUAUUUCUCAAGUCCUCAUAUUUAAUUUGGAGAUGGGAAAUGGAGAGAAAUGAAGAGAAAUGGGUAUUAAUUAUAUUAAAAUACUUAAAUAUCCUCAACCUUUUAAAACACAACCAAGUAUCCAAACAGAGGGUAAGCAGUUUCUUUUGGUAAUUGGAAAUUUUCAAAGGAGAAUGCUAAUAGUAUAGUCUGUUUAUCAUCAAAUAUGGAAUUCAAAUUCCCAUGUUCUAUGCCAAAAUUAAUAUUUAUGUUCAUCAUUUAUAAGAAUAUAGUAAUAAGAAAUGUCAAAUAAAUAUACAAGUAUGAAAUGAAGAACAUUUCAAGAGCAAUGAGAGAUUCAUUUAACAGAAUUUAAACUCGAGAUCCUUUUAAUGAAAAAAAUUCUUUAUAUCCUAAAUAACUAGGGAAAAAUAAGUGAUUAAUGGGAUUGAUCAAUUGAAAAUAAUAAAAAAAUGGAAAUUCGAAGAUCCCAAUUCAAGGGUAGGGAAAAGGGUACCUGAAGAGUCCUGGUAGCAAACUCCACGCCAAUGGUGGACUUAGAAUCCAAGCAAAAGUCAUUACGAGUAAACCUGGAAAGAAUGUUGGAUUUACCAACACCUGAAUCCCCAAUCAACACAAUCUUGAAAAGAUAAUCGUAUUCAUGAUCCACCUUGUAUGCCAUUUAGUAGUAUUCUCUUCUACUUCUUCUUUUUCUUCUUUCUCUCUUUUGCGUUGCCAAACCUACAUCUCACGCCCAUUAACACUUCACAUAGAACAAAAGAAAAAAUAUAUAUAUAUAUAUACAUCAAAGGGAUUCCAAGGAAAGAAAGGAACUUACAUAAAAGAGUAUGAUGGAAAUUGAAAUGAAAUGUUGUUGAAAGCUUUUGGUGAAGGAGAAGGUUGAGGGAAAAUAAGAGAAAGGAGGCGUUUUCCAAGAGGGAGAGAAACUAAAAACAGGUUAACUAAGGAAAAGGCGCCUAACACGGCUUUUCAUUUGGGUUAAGGAUAGAAAUUCCUGCUUUAAAUUUAAAUUUCAUCCUAUCGUUUUAUAUAUGAAUCAUAUCCAAAUGAAACUAAGCAAGCAUUGCAUCUCAAUUGUUGGAAUAUACAUUUGGUAGGUUACAAGGGUGUGUCUAAACUUAGCCCCGAAGAUCACCUGUUCCCUUUAUUCCAUUUUACUUUAUUUUCUAGUCACCUACGCACGCACCUGCUGGUGUGAGUGGAGCGUAAUUCUAUUCUUUUCCUAAACAUGGCAAAUUAAAACGGUCAUAAUUUUUUCCUUUUUCUGAACAAUUAAAACAGUCCAGUCCGAUCCAAAUUGAUUCAACUAAUUUUUAGGAUUCAUUUUUCAUUUGCCUCAAAAUGAUUAAUUCAAACAGUUUCGUAUUAAAUUUGUGAUGAUCUCAUCGUAACUGAAUUAAAUACUCUCGGGUAUUGUAGUUGGCUAAUACUUCAGACGGUUCCGCCUCGUCUCACACAGGUAGCCUUUUUCUCCUUGCAGGUCCAUUGGUUCUGCAUAAUUUAUCUGACCAAAGUGGCUUUAAUAACCCAAAUAAUUUAGCAGUUUCAUGCUAACUAUUAUAUAUAAUUCGAAAUUGCUGUAAUUCGCCGAUAUGAGAAUGUCUCCCACAUUCAAACUGCUCAACUGGGACAACAGAAGCCGUGCGGUGAUCAGUCGCCAUAUACUCCGUUGUGGAUAGAGGCCAUAAAGGUGUGGAAAUACCCCCUAAAAAUUAGGCAGAAGACAAACAGUCAUGAAGAAGAACUUUCAGUCAUGAAGAAGAACUUUCAGUCAUGAAGAACUUUCAAAAUGAAGAAGAGGAGACCAUAAUCACUGCAUGCAGAGCGGAUUAUAUUAAAAUUCAUAUUUUUUCCUUAAUAAAAUCAUAUAAAAUUUUAGUUUCAUUUAAAAUGAAUUUAUUUAAAUUAAAAAUAAUAAUAAUUUCAUUCCAAAUAAGAGAAUUAUUAUUAAAAAAAAAUUGAAUUGAAUUUUUAUAAAAUUUUGGAUACCAAAAACAAAGUAUAAAAUUAAAAUAAUCUUCAAUCUUUUUAAAAAAAUUUUACUUCAUCCAAUUGGCAUGAAUAUAUUCAAAAGUCUACAAGCAUAAUAUUUCAGCAAAUUUAUUCAAAUCUACAUAAUAUAAAAAAAAAUGGUAAAAUAACCAUUGAUAAACUUUUCAAGUUGAUUGAUAAUUAUAUUAUUAUAAUUACCUAUAAUUCAAACCGUUGACUAAUGAAGCCGGACAUUAUUUUUAGACUCAAAACAUUAUCAAUGGUAGCUGACUACACAGGACAACCACUAGCGUCCAUAAUAUAUAUAUAUAUUUUUUAUUUUGAAAUUAAUUUUUCUUUUGAUAUUACAUACUUGAAUACAUUGGAAUACAUUGGAACAAUCGAACAUCAGACUUAUAAAAGCUUAGCUUCUUCUACUUAUCUAACACAACCCAAAGCAAGCAAGCAUUCUAAGCUCAACAAUGGAUGCCAAUGUCUCUCUUCUUUCAUGGCUUCUCUUGCUUAGCCUUUCAUGCGAACUACUCGUUCCCAGCACCACAGCUGCUCAUGCCAAUCCAAAGGUAAACAGAGAUCUGACUUCUGAGAACUACUGGAUUUUCAUAUUUUGUUUAGAUUCUAACUGCAGAGCUUAUUCAGUCUUAUAUUGUCUAUAUGGGAGAACGACCUAAAGGCCAAUUUUCCAUGUCAUCGCAUCACUUGAGCAUGCUUCAGCAAGCCAUCGGCAGGUCUUUUUCCUUUAUUUUCGAGAUUGAAUUAUAAUUGUACAUUUUUAUUUUUAAGAAAUUAACUAAGUAAAAUGCAAACAAAUGCAGCAAUUUUUCGCCAGAAUCUCGACUAAUCCGUAGCUUCAAAAGGACUUUCAAUGCCUUUGUUGCGGAUUUAACUUGGGACGAAGCACAAAAAAUAGCAGGUCAGUAAUUUCUUUCUGUAACAGUCAGCUGACUGUUUUUACUGUGAAAGUCAUCCCAUAUUGAAAAAAUUAUAGAAAAUUAAAAAACUACUAAAUAAUUUGGAUUAAUCAUUUUGAAUUAAAUGGAAAGUGGAUUUAAAAGUUAUUUAGGUCAGUUUGAAUCGGACUAUUUCAAUUGAUAUCAGAACCAGUUUAGAUCAGAUAAAUUGUGGGCCUGUAAGGAAAGAGUUAUCCGUGAGAGACGAGGUGGAGCUGCCUGAAGUCCUAGCGAACCACAGUAUCUAAAGGUCCGGUUCUGGUUAGCAAUUAUAUUCGAUUUGGUCUUCGUUGUAAAAUUUAGUAGGACCGAGUGUAACGGUCAACUGUAUGUUUCCACUGCGGAAAUUACAAAAUUUAAUGGACCAUUAUAGAACCGAGUGUAAUGGUCAACUGUUUGUUUUCGCUUCAGAAAUUGCAAAAUUUAGCAAGAUAAAGUGUAACGGUCAGCUGUCUGCUUCCGUUGCGGAAUCCGUCCCACAUCGGAAGAUUAUAGAAAAUUGAAAUAGUACAUAAUAAGUAAUACGAAACUACUAAAUAAUUUUAGUUAACUAUUUUAGACGUAGUAUAAAGUCGGACCGGACUAUUUUUUCUUAACAAGGAAAAUUAUUAAUUAUUUAUACACGUGUACAGGAAUGGCUAAUGUAGUAUCGGUGUUCCCUAAUAAAAAGAGAACACUUGAUACAACAAGGUCUUGGGAUUUCAUAGGCUUUUCUCAGCAAGUUAAAAGAUCAACUCUCGAAAGUGAUAUUGUAAUCGGCGUGCUUGACACUGGAAUUUGGCCGGAGUCUGAAGCUUUCAACGACCAAGGUUUUGUUUCACCACCAAGCAAAUGGAAGGGCAGUUGCCCACCAGAUUUCAGAUGCAACAAGUAAACUUCAACAACCAUAUUGUUAGCUAGAUUUCUAGCCUUAGAUUUCUGUAGCCUUCACUGAUAAAUUUUAAAACGCGAUGCAGUAAACUCAUCGGAGCUAAAUACUAUCGUAACAAUGAAACAUAUGACCCAAGGGAUGAUCGAUCUCCGAGAGACACAGCUGGCCAUGGGACACAUACAGCGUCAACAGCAGCUGGGAGCUUGGUUAGCAUGGCAAGCUUAUAUGGACUCGGCGAGGGAACUGCACGAGGAGCAGUGCCAUUAGCUCGAGUUGCUGUGUACAAAAUAUGUUGGUCUGAUGGUUGUUAUGAUGCUGAUAUUCUUGAAGCAUUUGGUGACGCUAUUGAAGAUGGAGUUGACAUAAUUUCUCUCUCAGUUGGAGGAGAUGAUAUUGAAGAUUAUUUUGAGGAUACAGCAGCUAUUGGAGCUUUUCAUGCAAUGAAAAAGGGGAUAUUUACGUCAACUUCAGCAGGUAAUAGUGGUCCUGGUGCUGGAUCCAUCAGAAAACUUUCGCCAUGGUUUCUUUCAGUAGCUGCUAGUACCAUUGAUCGGAGGUUCAUUGCUAAUGUGCAGCUGGGAAAUAACGAGACUUACGAGGUAUAUACUACAUACUGUAUGGUUCAAAUUUUAUAUACCAAUAAUAUUUAUUUAAAUCGGAUCCAUAGUAUUAAUAUAUAAUAAUAUUUUUUAAAAUAUAUAUAUUUUUUUAUAGGGUAUUUCAAUAAAUACUUUUGACCUCAACCAAACCAUGUAUCCUCUGAUUUAUGGGGGAGAUGCACCAAACCUGGCUCAAAAUUAUACGGCUGAGAAAUCCAGGUACCUGUUAUUGUUUUUUCGGCAAGUCUUAAAUUUGGACAUGCCAAGCAUAUUAAAUAUUAUUUUAUUUUAUUUUAUUUCAUUUUUCCGACGUGGGAUAAGUUACCUAGUUCACUUUAGUUAAUAAUAAUUAACCACAUUACUACAUUUUUAAAUUUAGGCAAUAAUACGAUGUUAAAUUAUUGAUUUAAUAUCACUGAAUAAUUAAUAAUUUAUAGUAGUUCAAGAUUAAAGUUCCCAAAAUUUGCAAAAAUAUGAGCAAGAUAGAGGAUACUUGGUAAUUAAUUGGAAAAACUCAAUGGACAUUUAUUGCUUAACAGGUUUUGCAAAGAAAAUUCACUGGACGAGAAUUUAGUGAAGGGUAAAAUUGUUCUCUGCGAUGCCCGGAGCACUGGAAAAACAGCAUUUUUUGCUAGAGCAGCUGGUGUGGUGAUGAAAGGUCGACGACCCAGAAAUCGUGCUUUCUCUUAUCCAUUGCCUGCAUCUCACCUUGAAGAUGAGGAUAACAAUAUAUUUUCCUACAUAAGAUCAACGAGGUACGAUGUCGAUCAUGGAACAGCUAAUCAUUGCAUUUAAAUUACGCUAACAUCCUAAUGAAUUGUUCAUAAAAAUUGCAGUAAUGCAACUGCAACUAUAUAUAAGAGUACUGAGGGAAAUAACACGUUAGCACCUUUUGUUCCCGACUUUUCAUCAAGGGGUCCCAAUCCAAUCACGCCUGACAUUCUCAAGGUAAUGAUCAAAUUGGCUUUGUCCUUCUUUCUCUCUAAUAAUCCAUUGAUGGACUCGUUAAAGGCUUUUAAUGUUACUGCAUGCAGCCAGAUAUAGCUGCUCCAGGAGUUGAGAUUCUAGCUGCAUGGUCUCAUGUUUCUUCGGUGACUGGAAUCCCAGGUGAUGUUAGAUUAGUACCCUACAAUAUCAUCUCAGGGACAUCAAUGGCUUGCCCUCAUGCAACUGGGGUAGCUGCCUAUGUUAAAUCACAUCACCCCACUUGGUCUCCUUCUGCUAUUAAGUCUGCUCUCAUGACUACUGGUAAUUCUCGUUUUCAUAUAAAUGGCUUUAUGUUCUCAGAAAUCAAACAUAACCAAGUUGAUCUUCCUUGCUUGCAGCUUCACCGAUGAGUUCUUGGACUAACUCUGAUGCAGAAUUUGCUUACGGCGCAGGCCAUAUUAAUCCUGUCGAGGCCAAUGAUCCUGGUCUAGUAUACGAUGCUGAGCCAAUUGACUACGUAAAAUUUCUGUGUGGACAAGGAUAUGAUUCGAAUCGUCUACAGAUUGUUACAGGGGACAAUAGCAGUUCUUGUUCUGAGACUGUUAAUGCAACAGUGUGGGAUCUCAACUAUCCUUCCUUUGCACUUUCUGUUUCGAAUUCAGAAUUUGUUAGUCGAGUUUUCAACAGGGUUGUCACGAACGUUGGAUUGCCGACGUCUACGUAUAAAGCUACGGUGACUGCUCCUCCAGGGCUGAAAAUCCAAGUAAACCCUAGCAUGCUGGCGUUUACUUCUGUUGGUGAGAAGCUAUCUUUUGCGGUUACCAUUGAAGGAUCAAUGAAUAGUCGUAUAGCUUCAGCUUCUUUGGUGUGGGACGAUGGAGUGUACCAAGUGAGGAGCCCAAUCAUUGUGCAUAUUUUAUCAUGAAGUUUUAAGAUUCUUGUAUGAGUGGAAAUGAAAACUCUACCUUGUAGGCAAAAAUUUUAGUAUCUUUUUUUUCCUAUUUUUGAUUUUCAAGCAAGUCCUUUGUACUUUUUCGCUUAGUUGAAAUGAUAAAUCUUUAUAAAGUAAUUUCAGCCAACAUGGUCUCCAUUGAGUUUUUGUGUGCACAAGGCUAUAGUACUAAACAACUGCAAGUUGUUACUGAGGACAAUAACAGUUGUUCUGAAGUACCAAAAACAACGUUGUCCGAUCUAAAUUGCCCUUCUUUCACCUUCUGCACCGUCUGGGCAAAUCUGUAGGCCGUGUCUUUCAUAGAGUUGUCACAAAUGUUGGAUCACCAGAGUCCACUUACAAGGCCGUUGUGAAAACUUCGAAAGCAGAAGACCAAUGUGACACCUAAUGUUCUUUCUUUCAAGAAGCUUGGGGAGCAGAAAACUUUUCAUGUAACUUUGACAGCAAAACUGGGCAGUGCUUCAAUUUCUGGGUCUUUGAUUUGGGUUGACGGAGAACAUCGGGUGAGGAGCCCUGUUAUUGCCUAUGUUUCUUCUUAAUGAUGAUUCUCCUGCCAUAGUUGAAGCAAGACCACUGGCAGAAGUUUUUUCUUUUUAAUUUUCCCCCUUGAGAAGUCAUGUCAAUUUAAUUUUAAUUUGCAGUUCAAAACAUUUUGGAGAAUUCCCGAGAAAAUCUACAGUUCCAACGUAAACAUAAAAAGAAUGGAGAUGCAGGGGAUCGAACCCUGUACCUCUCGCAUGCAAAGCGAGCGCUCUACCAUUUGAGCUACAUCCCCCAGGCAGAAGUUUUUUCUUUCAUUCUUUAAUUUGCUGCGCCAAACAUUUUGGAGAUUUCCCGAGAAAAUCUACCGUUCCAACGUAAAAAUGGAGAUGCAGGGGAUCGAACCCUGUGCCUCUCGCAUGCAAAGCGAGCGCUCUACCAUUUGAGCUACAUCCCCUUGACUGUUUAUUCUUAUAAAAUAAAUAAUAAUUAAUAUUAUAAAUAGAGGCAAUUUAUGGGAUGAAUCUUGUAAAAAUCAAACUUAAAUUACCUUGCAUAGAAAUUUCAGUGAUUAGUUUACUAUUAUAAGUUAAUUUAUUGAAUUAAUUAAUGGCAAGGAUAAUUGAGAAAAAUUUUAUAUGCUUAUUUGUUUCUGAUGAAGAACUUAAUUGUAACUAAUUACCCAUCUUCAGGAAAUUUCCAUAUUCAUUCCAAAUAGGAAAAACAAGGAAAGAGAGUCCUAUAUUUUACUGAAAGUAAGCCAUGUGUUCAACAAUUAGAAGCUGCCAAGCAAUUUGUCUUAAUUACUUGUAUAUUUCCACCCAAGAGAAGGAGUAUGUGAAUUUUGAAUUAAAGAUGUUUUUACUCUUAAUUAUUCAGCUUCUAUGUGAAAUUUGAAAUGCUCUUGAUUUCUAAGUCUCACAACUACCUCACCUUGAAUGUCAAUUUUGAUUCAAAGAAAUUCGUGUAAUACCCCGUGUAUAGAUGAAAAUUAAGAUAUUUAUUGGUAAUCGAUUCAAUUAAAUCUUAUUACGUGUCUGAAUUUAAAUAAUACAUAAAAUAAAAAGUAAAGUAAAUUUAUUUAUUUUAUUAAAAUUAACUAUUCAUCUAUAAUUAUAAAAUCGCUUAGUUAAAAUAAUCAUUUUUCUAUUAAAUAACAUAUUAGCUAAUAUGUUAUUGAGGAGAAGAAAUCUUUUGCUGUUACCUUACCAAAAAUAGCAUGAAAAAAUAGAAUGGAGAUGCAGGGGAUCGAACCCUGUACCUCUCGCAUGCAAAGCGAGCGCUCUACCAUUUGAGCUACAUCCCCUUUUACUGUAAAAUCAGAGUAUUUUAUUGUUUUUAUUGUAUAAAAUAAAUUACUUCCCUUACCUCAGUUAAGUCAUUUCUUAAAAAAUUUAUUUUUCAUAAAAUAAUCCAUUUGAAUCAAACAACAGUUAGAAUUAAUUAUAAAACUAUUAAUUAUGAGAAUAAUUGAGAAAGAUUUUCUAUGAUGCUUCUGAUGACCAACUUCUAACAAAAUACCCAGAUGGUAGGAAAUUUCUAUAUUAAUUCCAACAGGAAAACAAGCAAAGAAAGAGCUACUCUCAACUGAACAAGCUCUUUAUUUAACAAUUAAAAAUAUAUAUUUAUAUAUGAACGAUGUCGUAUCAAUCGUCAUCCUUACCAAAUAAUUAUUUUGUUAAGUUAAUUUUCUUCAAACAUUGGCUAUUGCGAUCAUAAUCACGACUUUUGCUUAAUUCCCACUUCCCAGCCCCUGUAACAAGUUCAAAUAAAUUAUCACGCCAUGGCCGACGGUGUGAUAUAUGUGCUUCAAUUUUAAAACAGUGAAAUUAUUCUCAGUUAUCAAUUUUAAUUAAUUAAUUUGCUGCUCAAUUAAUCCUAAUUUAGGGUUUCCCCCGUCAAACAAGUUCUCUUCUUUUUGACUAAGCAAGAUUUUGAUGCUUUGUUUCUUGAAUUUCUUCUCUUACCAUAAUGCAUCCAUAUGGCUCACAAUUUCCAGUCAAGAUAGGGAAAUCAUGGGAUUAUAAAUAUAUAUAUUCAUUUUUUUUAUGGUGCUAAAUUACUUUUCAUGGAGAAUUAAAUUUAUAAUUUUUAAAAAUAAAAAAUAUAUUUUGAUAUAAAUUAUAGACAAAAAAAUAAUUUAUUAUUAGUUUAUUAAUUAAUGUAUGUUAUUUCAUAUACAUUCCUUUAAUUCCAAAAUGAGUUAGUAACAUAAUUUACAUUUAGCUUUUUAAUAAAGCAAUAUGAUUGAAGCUGCAUAUAUUAGAAAAUUAAUAAAUAAAUUUUUUUAACAACUUAAUUUAUAUAAAAAUUAUUUUUUGAAAUUAAUGAAACAAAAUAAUAUAUAAUAUCUUUCAUUAUUUUCAUUUUUCAAAACAAUGAAAAUAAUAUAUGAAUAGUCUUGUCAUAAUAAAGGCUAAUUUAGAAAAAAAAAAAGAGAGAGAAAAUAUUAAUUUAACUAAUUAUUAAAAGCUUCAAAUAAUAAUAAUAAUAAAAACAAACACUAGCUGGCAAAUAGAAAAUUCAAAACACAAUAGAAAAGAUGAAAGAAUAUUUCCAAUAGAUAAUUAAUGUUGGAAAAUAGUAAUCCAAUCAAACAAACUGGAAAGAAGCUUCUAUAUACUAAUUACCAUGCAAAUUCAAAAUUCACAUCAACACAAAUAUUUCCCUUUGUUCACAUUUAUUAAGAAUAAUUUCUCAAUAAACAACAAAAAAGCCCAUAUAUUCUACAAUCAAUUUUAAAUAUUGACCAUAAAAUGGAUAAAUCGUGGUUCAAAACUUAAAAUCUCAUAAUUUUAAAUAUAUUAAUUAAAAUAAAUUAAUAUAAUUCAAUUUUCUCAAGAUAUCAAUGAAAAUACUAUAUUAUCAUUUAUUACUAAAUUAAAUGGUUAUUUCGAAUUAAUUGAUUUUGUAGAAUAUGAUAAUUAAAUUCAACUAAAUAUAUAUGAAAAUUGAAUUAAAUUCAACCGUAUUGAUUCAAUUCGAUUUGAAAUUUAUUUUAAACUUUUUGUGAGAUCUCGAGAGGUGACUCAAGCGAGUGGCCGGCUAUGGGAUAACCCAACAGGAGAGAGGAGGAUUUCUGCAAUUCUACUCACUGAGAGAUCAAGAGCGAGAGGGAUAAAGAUGCGAUGACGAAGAGACGAGAUGCGAUGGGUCAACAAUGAGACCAAAUGCAAAAGAGAAAGAUGUGAUUUAGAAGGGUCAUGUAAACCUUUCUAUCUGAUCGGACUGAAUAAUAGGAAGACCGAUCUAUUGAAUAUGAAAAAUCAAACCACCAAUACUCUUAAGUUUAUCAAAAUUCAGAACUGACUGACCUCUUUAAAACCUAUAGAGGACUGAGCAGACCUCUUCAAAAUUCAUACUAUAACGAGACUUUGAAUGCAGACAUGGUCGACCUCAAUGACCUGAAGAAACUCACCUCUAUGUAGGUCGGAUGAACCGAACAUGACAUGAUAAAAUCAGGGUAAGGAUGUCGACCUCUUACCUAGUCGUCUCUUUGAUACAGCACUAGGAUCAUGAAUAUGUGUGCAGUGAUACGAACUAGUUAGCUUCACAUUUAUUAUCAUGUAUCCUAUCAUUAAUAUAUCGCCUGACACAUCUGCACAAAAUCAUCUAUGCCCAAUCCGAUGGGACACGGCAGCGAUCAUAAGUAUAUAUAUUACUAAACUAACCAAAAGAGGGGACUUUCUCUCUGUGUGGGAAAAAUCCUAGAACCUAUCCUUUCUCUUGGGGCAACUUUCUCUUCUCUUUUCCUCUCUGUUUUAUUUCCCUUGACUCCACUAAAAGGCCUCCGAUCUGACUUGAGCGUCGUAGGGUCUUUACCGUAACAUUCUCAAUGGAUCUCUAACCCCUUUUUCAUAUUUUACAAGUACUUCUCUCAAUAUUGGUCAUGGAGGAACCCAUAUGAAAUCUCCAAAGCAUCCACCCCUCAUCAGUCCAGUCACACGUCAAUGAUCGAUCCAUCAAAUUAAAUCUCUGUCUAAGUGUCCACAUCUGAAUAUUCCGUCGAAUCUCCUAUCAUUACAUUUUAUUUCAUUUGAAUUAAAAAAACUUGAUAAAUGGAAAUAUUUUUUUUUAAACUGGGAAUUGAGGAUUGGGAGAGUAGAAUAUGAAAUCUUUCAGAUUUACUCAGAUGCACCUACCACUGGCUAAACCCGUGAAUGCAUACAUGGGAAGAUUUGUCACCUUAUAGAGAAAUUAUUAAACAAAUACAUGAAAUAAAAAGCCAAUGAAAAUUUAAUACAUAAAUAUAUUCAGUUGCUAAAAUUAAAAAUUGUUUGGUAAUCUUUUUUGUCUUGGGCUCACUUUUAUAUUAGUAGGUUACACCAUCAUUACAACACUAACCGUUUCAUUGAUUUACCAUUGCAGGUAGAAUAGUUUAUAUGGAAUCAUGGUUAUAUUAUAUAAUUUUUUCAGUAAAAGAAUUAAAUUUAUUCAUAAAUCAUGCAACGAAAAGCUAAAAAUAUUAAAUUUCAAUUUUCGAUUUAAAUUUAAUAAAUUCAAAUAAAAUUAAAUAAAUCGAAAAAAAUAUAGUUAUUAUUCUUUAGUCUCGAUAAUUGGUAGUUUUAUUAGACCUUUUAACAAUAGCUCUAGAGUUAAUUUAGAUAAAUAAAAUAAAAUUUAAUAUCUUUUAUUCUGCCACAUGUAUAAUUGAAUAUCAAAUUUAACAUUUUAACUUAAUUCUUCCAAUCCAUUUCAAAAAAAAAAAAAAAAAAACUUAAUUCUUCCAACUUAUGGCCCACCCCAAAUGACUAAAUUGGGCAAAGGUGUAAACGCGUUUGCCUUCAUCAUUACUCUGCCCUCUUCUUCUGUUCUCUCUUGUAUAUAUCUCGCAAUCUAAUGGUAACUCUCUCAUGCACCUGUUUGAUCAUUUGCCUAAGAGAAUUACUAAAGAGAUUUCCAUUCUUUCAAAUACAAAGAUUCUGAUAUAGAAAUUAAAAUGGCUCUGCCCAAACGCCUUACAGCUUCGGUUUUGCUAGUAAUGAUCGUCGUCAUCUCUCAUGAUCAGUACCCUCCAGGAGGUGCUGAAGCUGAAGCCACACCAUUAUCAUCGCUCAAACGAGGUGAUUGAUUAAGUUUAAAGUUUUUUUUUUAUUUUUUGAGUUGGAUUCUUGACAUACAUGGGUUUAAAUCCAUGAGAUUAAUUAAGUGAUAAUUAUUUAUAAAAUGUUGCAGUGAAAACGAAGAAGUUCUUUGCGAGUCUAGGGUUAGAGUGCAAGUGCUGUGAUGGUGCUAAAGGUGAAUGCAGAAGCUCAUGGAAUUCAUCAUGCUCGAAGCUCCAGUGCCUUCCAUGGAAAUCCUACUGAUUUUUAUCAGUGUUUCUUGCAAAAUCUCAGGCCUUUAACGUAGGAUUUCCCAAGUCUUCUGACAGAAACAUGUCCUUUUUCUUUUAGGUGAAAAGUCUUAAUAUUAAUGCUUUUUUUUUUCUUUCCUUUGCUAGAAAUAAAGGGUUGGAUCCUACUGUAUGGAGUAAAUACUCGCUAUAAAUAUUUUAUUUAACUUAUUCUGUGCGAAUAAAAUUUAGUAUCAGUCUAAUUGAUUUAGAAAUACUGUAAUUGUAACGAAGAAAAAAAAAAGUUAAAUUUUAUUAAAUUGCAACGAAACAAUAAGCUGUCUAUGGCCAUUGGCAAUAAUCUUGCCUAAGUUUAAUUUUGCCUAAACUAUAAGAUCUCUCAUUUUGAUUUGAUCGGCUUGAUUAAAGGAAUUUGCCCUACAUGAUUUUAUUUAUCUAUAAAUUUAAAAUAACUCAAAUUGAAUGAUAAGUAAAAUUAAGAGUCAAGCUUGAAAAUAUAAUUUGAAAAUAUUGAAUAAUUUAAUUUGACUCAAAAAUUAAAUUAAAAAUCACAUUUUAAUAUUCUGAGUCCAAAAAUUAAUUAACUUUAAUUUUUUUUUACGUAUAACUAUUUAAUAAAUAUGAUUAUAACUUAAAUUAGGUCUAUUGUAUGAUUAUUUAGUUUAUACAAAGUAAUUAAAAUUUAUUUUAUUAUAAAAAUAUAAUAAUUUUAUAAUUCAUCUCAUUAGAUUUUUAUAGAAUGUUGUUAUCUUCUGUAAAUUAGUUAAUUACAAAAAAAAUAUUAAUUUAAUAAAAAAGCAAAUUUUUUCAUAUAUAAAAAUAUAUACAUUAUUUUUUAUUAAUAUUAUAAAUAUAUAAAUUUUACCGAAUAAGUUAUAAUCAUUUAAUAUUUUAUGUAAUUUGUGAUUUUAAUUUAAAAUUAUUUUAUGAAAAAUUAAAAUAUUGUAAAAAAAAUACAAAAGAUAAAUUAUAGAAUAUUUAUUAACUUUAUAUUUGAUAUGAUUGAUUUUGUAAGAACAAAAUUUAAAAGAAUUUUUAUAAAAUUAUAUAUAUAAUUUAUAAAAUUCUUUUGUCCCAUGUGAAUAUAGAAAAAUAGAAGUCCACAGUAAGAAGCUCAAUAGUUCACCAACUUAUAUUCAUCAAUCUAGAAGUACAGAGACCUAUUUAGAAAAAGAAGCCAUUGCAAAACAGGUGAUUGUCGAUAAGAGAGAAAUUUUGAAAAAGCACAAUUUCGAUACUAUUCACCGUACAGGUAAAGAAAGAAAAACACUUAAUAAAAGUAUAGAAACAAUAAAAAUAAAAAUCGCAAAUCUGAAAAGCCACCGAUGCAGAUUUUAAGAACUAUCGCCCGAAUAGUUACCGAAUAAAAUGGGCAAGUUCCUCCACCCAAAGCAGAGGAGCCAACUGCUAGAGUCCUGCACCGAUCAAACGCUGAAGUUUUCUCUAACUCUCUCUGCUGCCCUUUUCGAGAGUAAUAACAGUACGUUUUCAAAUCACGACUUCAACCAAUUUCUAGAAAUAAUAAUAUAUUUCAGUAACUGGAAUUCCCAUUAUAUUUAUAUACAGAGAGAAAAUUUAUAAUUUACUCUUUAAAUAUUGUCAUUAUUAACAAGUCAGUCCCUCUAUUUUUAGAAACCUAUUAAAACAUCUUUAUAUUUUCUUUCCAUCAACGAAAUAGUCUUUCCGUCCUCUUUUCCAUUAAAAUUAGAUAAAGUAGGAGGGAGAAAAUUUUUAAAUUUAAUUUUACCCUCAAAUAAAAUCAUUUAUUUAGUCCUUGGAUAUUGUUAUUAUUAACAAGUUAGUCCUUAUAUUUUCAAAAAUCUAUUAAAACAUUUUUAUCUUUUUCCAUAUAUAUUAAAACGUCCUUAUCAUUUUUUUUCGUCAAUAAAAUAGUCCUUAUCUUUUCUCAUAUUUAUUAAAACGUUCUUAUCAUUUCUUUUCAUCAACGAAAUAGUUCUUUCUCAUCGUUUCUUUCCAUCAACGAAAUCGUCCCUUCCUAUAUUUUUAAAAAUUUAUUAAAAUAUCCUUAUUGUUUCUAUUUGUCAACAAAAUAGUCCCUAUCUUUUCUCACAUCUAUUAAAAUGUCCUUAUCGUUUCUUUUUGUCAACGAAAUCAUCCUUAUCUUUUCUUUCCUCCUCCUCCUCCUCCAAAAAAGGAGAAAAAGAAGAAGAAGAGGAAGAAGAAGAAGAGGAAGAAGAAAAAAAGAAGAAAAAGAAGAAAAAGAAUGAGAAGAAGAAGAAGAGAAAGAAGAAAAAGAAGAAAAAAAAAGAAGAAAAAGAAGAAGAAGAAGAAGGAGAAAAAGGAGAAGAAGGAGAAGAGAAAGAAGAAAAAGAAGAAAAAGAAACAAAAGAAGCAAAAGAAGAAGAAGAAGAAGGAGGAGGAGAAGAAGGAGAGGAAGAAGAAGAAGAAGAAAAAGAAGAAGAAGCAGAAGGAGAAGCAGAAGCAGAAGAAGAAGCAGAAGAAGGAGGAAGAAUUGAUGAAGAAGAAAAGGAAGGAGGAGGAGGAGGAAGAGAAGGAGGUGGAGGAAAAUAAUGGGGAUAAUUUAGUCUUUUACUAUAUUUUUAACUGCAAAAAUAGACAGAAUGACUAUUUUGUUGACGGAAAGAAAAGAUAAAGACGUUUUAACAUGUUUCUAUAAAUACAUGAACUAACUUGUUAAUAAUGACAAUAUUCAGAGACUAAAUUGUAAAUCUCCUUUAUAUAUAUUUAUGUCAUUUUGACUUUUUUAUUUUCCAUGCAUUAAAUUUCCAGCCAACUUUUCACAUUUCCUUUUUUUUUAUUUCUUUUUCUUUUGUUUUUUUUAUUUCUAUUCUCAAUAGAAUAUAUUCCUCGGUCCUCACCCAUUUUGUUCCAUUUGCAUUAAAUUUCUUAUUUCUUGACCUCAGAAGUUCCAGAAUUUUUCUACAUUUAACAAGUAUUAUAUAUUAUUAUUAUUGAUAUUUUAAAAUCUAGAGAAUAAAAUUUUAUAAUAUGUGUAAGUUUAGACGGAGAAAAAAGUAUUCCUUUUCUUUUUUUUUUGUCUGCUAGUGAUUUCUAACGGUCUCUCUGUUAUAGUGCCACAUGUUUCUGUCACGCAGAUCCAUAUGUACGGAAGUGUCAGACUCCUUCUUCACACCAAGCGGUCAUUUAAUCCGUAGGACUGCAAAGUAAUUGGACCUGCUAUCCUUCAUCACAUCACAUCACCAACCUGAAUAUCUUCUUAUCGAAUCUGAAUUCACGGACGAUCCGGUCUGUUCCGUGCGCUUAAGUCAAGACUUAAGAUAAUGGACAUGUUAACUAAAGAAAGUCCCAUGGGUUUACUUUCUUGGACUCGCACUUGUUCAGGAGUGAUGAGAUCCGACGGUAAUCGAUUAUUAUAUAAAAAAUUAAUAUGUAUAUUAUUUUUUAAUAAGUUGAAAAAUUUAUAUAAAAUUAUAUACAUUUAAAUUAUGAAUCUAUAUAUUUAGAUUAUCUUUAUCCUCUUUCUUUAAAAUUUUAUAGCUGCAACUUGAACUCAAUAUCCCAUUCAGCAACAGUUAAAGAUAAACAAUUGAUCACGGAUCACAAAUCCAAAAACAUUGCUAAGUACAUGGAACAUGAUAAAGCUUAAAGAAAGCCAUGCAGACACACGUGAAAACAUACUCCCUGUUUCUUUGAUAAAACAUAUAUUCCGCCAUUGAUUCUUGCAAGGUUUGUAGAACAAGUACCGCCUUCAUUGCAUGGUAUAGAUAUGAAGGUAUCUUCUUCGAUUUCAGCAAAUGAACGAAGAGAGAAAGCAAAAAAGAAAAAGAAUUAGAUGAAGGGUCAACCAACCAUUUCUUGCAAAAGAUGGCAAAAUAUUAUUAUAUCCCACGAGCUAGCCCAAGUUGAUGUGCAACGACCUUAUCCGAUAAUAUUAUCUUCAUGCAUGAAACUAACAGCAAAACAGAGUCAAAGAUAUGGGCAUGGACGACACGUGGCAACAAGGGGUUGGAGAUGACAGGAUUUUCCACUUGGAGUUUAGAUGAAGAACCCAUAUGUCCAAGGAUAAUUGAAGAAAGGCACAUGGAUUAAAAUAUUAUGAGACUCAUAUAAAGUUUUAAUUUUUUUAUUGGUAGUACUUUCGGAUGCGGGGAAGAAUUUUGCUUGGGCACAAGAAUCCAAAGAGACCGUCGAUUUCUUGCAUGGGGCUUAUAAAUUGCAGAGAUGGUUUGCUCUAAGCUAUCUCCACAUCUGCUAUCUUCACGUGCUCUCUGUUUGCUCCUAUUUUUUUCUUCUUUUUUUCACCUUCUGCAAAUCUUAUCCAUCCAUUACUGCUGCCUGUCUUUUUUUGGGUCGUUAUAGCUGCUUAAAUAGAUAGAUAUAGUUUUGUUCGUUGGCUGACAGAGAAAAGUUUAAGGUUUUUUUUCAGAAACAGUAGUAUUAUUGUCUUGAUUUAUUAUCUGUAGCAUGGAAAACAAGAGGCAGCAGAGUGGUGCUUCUUCUUUUGAUCAUAUUUUUGGCCCUAGGGGUUCUUCUUCAUCUUCAUCAAGUCUUUUUGGGUCUAUUUUCUCUUCUUCUUCCACGGUAUUGCGCUUUUCUCCUCUUCUUUCAGAUUAUUCUCUGGAUCCAUUUGUGUUUUGUGCUUGUGGGUGUUCUUAUUUAUUUUAUUUUAGCUCAUUAAUCACCAUUGAUAAAGAUGAUAGCUUCAUGUCAUAAUACAACACAUGGUGGAAUAAUAACUAUAUUGCAAUUUUUUUUCAAUAUUUAGAUAAAAAAGAAUUGAACUUGAUAAAUUUUGCUUUUUCUUUUGAUUUUUAUGGUUCAAAUUUUAGGGGCUGGGAAGAGACUCUUCAGGAAUUAUGGGAAAUCAAGGUGGGAAUAGCAAAUAUGGGAAUAAUCCAGGUAUGUGUUUGUUCAUGUUUAGAUUCUUUUUAAGUUUAUUACCAAUCAAGCUGUCUGUGAACAAAGUGUCAUCAACAGUGAUUAGGUGGCCAAUUUUCAGAUAGAGUCGAUUAUAAAAAAAAAAAAUAAUAAUUGGGUUUUUUUUCUCAGAUAAUUCCAGUCAAAGCAAUAAGGGAGGUAGCAUUGGCAAAGAUACGAGUUGUGUUUAUGAAAAUGAAACACCAGAACCCUGUUAUUUCAGCUCGUCUAUCUACUAUGGUGGCCAAGAAAAUUAUUCUCCAAGGACUAAGAACUCUGAAUCUCACCAUAUUGUGAGUGUAAAACUACGAACCAAAUUAUUAUAUUGCAUAAGAAUCUACGAGGAACUGAUUUUCUUUCCUUUUCUUUUUAAUGAACAGUUGAAGAAAGAUGACAAAACUGAUGAUCCCAACGGCAACAAUUCAAACAGUGCUUCAAGAGGGAAUUGGUGGCAGGGUAUAUUAACAAUAUACUUCUUAAUUAAUUAUUUUUUUAAUUAAUGAAAAUUAUGAUAAUCUGAUCAAUUUGGAACAAAUGGUUUUCUGCAGGUUCACUCUACUAUUAACUCUAGACCCACAUGUGUAAAAUUCAGCAUCUAUAAGCUAAGGUUAGCUAGUCUUUUCGUCAAUUAUUUAGCUCAUACAAUCUCAUCCUUCUAUUUUAAUUUAAUUAAAUUCAAACGGCAUAAAUUAAUUAAACUUUUAUAAAAAAUUAUAUCUAAAACAACGAUAAUAAAUUAUUAUCUCAUAUACUUAAACUGUAAUUAUAAGUUUAUAAUAAUGGUUGAGGAAUAAGAUAGUAAUUUACUUUUUUUAUAAUAAAAAAAUAUAAUUAAAAUUAUAAUUCAUUAAUAUAAAAUAAAUUAUUUAUUAUAAUAUAUUAUAUUAUAUAGUUAAAUUUACAGUAAUUUUAAAUUAUUUUUUUUUUUAAAUAAAAAUUAAAAAUUAAGAGAGUAGAACCUCAAAUCUCUCGUAUGCAUUUACCACCGAAAUAAAGCUGUAAGUGUAAAUUAUUAUCAAACUAUUACCUUAAUAAUAUUGAGGUGAUAAUUUUAUAAUGGUUAAUAAACUUUAAAAAUGUAGCAUGGUGGUUGAUUUUUUUUUUUUUUUUCCUUUGACCCAUCAUUCAGUUUACUAAAAUAUUCUGUCUGUUUGUUUGAUAUGACACAGGAAUGAUGGCUAUGAUCAAACUUCAUACUAAGAAAAUAAGAUGAUAAUUAUAUGUUGAGUACUUUUGUUGGGGCAUCAUAUGUUUGUGAUGUUGGGUUCUUCUUUACCCUACUUGUGUUUUUACACAAGAUCUGAUAUUUUGUUCUGGGAGGCUGAUGCCUUGCUUCUUGUAUACUAUGUUUCUUUUGCUCUUUUGCAUAGUUAACCUUAUCAUCCAUGUACUCAACCAUGAUUUCCUAUUGAAAAACUUGCUUUCUAGUUCGAACAGUAUAACGAAAGUAAUUAAUUAGUCUAUAUAUUUUUAAAAAUAGAUAAAAUAGUCUCAUAAUUAAUUUCAUAGCCAGAGAUCAUAUAGAGCAUAAAUAACUGGCAAACAGAAAAGCAAAAUGGAAAUUAAACAUUAAAAGUUUAUUUAUUAUCAGAUUCCUGGAUGUCACUGUCAUUUGUUAGCUAGAAGGGAACUAGCUGCAAAGCUGCAGACUCCGGAACAUUCGUAGAAGCAAGUAUAUUACAGAGCACCAUGACUGAUAUUGCUCUUCAAGGCAAUGUGUAAGCUGCAAGAUACAAGCCAAUUUAAAUGGUUAUUAUUGAAGAAGCUGUAGCUCAAAUUGGGAUUUGAAUAUGAAAAAUGGGAAGAAAAGGUAAAUGAAUUGAAAAAUGGUGAACAUGCAAACGAACCUCCACACUUGUAACCCACAGGACGAUCAGCUAAGUUGCACCUUUUGGGAAUGGUGACUGCAAUUUCUGCCUUGACUCCCGAACUCUUUGCUGUGUUAGAAAGCAUAACAGCGCAAAGGCAGGCUGGGUUCUGGCCAAUUUUCUUUACCUGAGCACAGCACUGGGAAGAAACUGGAGCAUUUUCAUCUUGCGCUGCUGAUGCACAGGGUGCCAGCUUGAAAGCUUCUCUGUCAGGAGUUGUGGAUUUCCCACAUUCUCCAGCUCCAUCAACUCGAUUAAUCUCUGCAAAUCCAAGAAUGACAAGAACGAUCACCAAGCAAAGAGAUUUCAAGAGAGCUGCCAUUUCUAAUUUCAAAUUCAAUUCAAAGCACAAAUAAUUCUCAAUCUCAUAGGAUUUUAUAGUGAAACUAGCAAAUGAAAGAUGCUUACACGUGAAUUCCAUUAGCCAUAGUGGAGACAGCACUAGAAGCAUUGUAGAAUUAUUUAUUGCAGCACCUACCCCUUCCAUAAACAAAGCCAAAACUUAAAUGGCCAUUUCAAGCCUAUGAGGCUAGUGCUAACUAUAGGCAUUGCAACCACCCCAUUUCCUUUUUAUCCCUGAGGGAGCAAAGAAGAGAUCUUCAUAAGAAGUUGACAACAAGGAAUCCACUACAUAUGAUCUGCCUAGAGCACCACAAUUUUCUCCAAGACAUGAAAGCCUCAGUUCACUCACCAUCCCCUUGUCACGCUGCAUUGAGCCCACAGAAUUAUCAAAUAUACAGCCAUCUGCACCUACACUGGCUUCAUAGUUCAUGAUACCCACUCCUGGUUGAGGAAAAAUUCAAGCACCAAAGAUGCACAAGGAAUUAACGCGAAAGGGAGCAGCUCAAUGGCUAGUCUUCCCCAUUCUCAUCUACUUUACAAGAGCUCAGGGCCAUUCAAACUAAUAACCAUUGGAAUCAAAUAUGAACGAGCUGGUGUGAAGAAAUUAUUAGUGACAUAACUUAUCACAGCAGUAACUGUUAGUUUAGCUUAGACAGCAAAGUGGUGCCAAAAUUUGUCACUGAAUUAGUUAGUUCUGGUAGUUCAGUAGAUAGCUGGAAAAGUUCUAAAACAUCCUAAUGGAUAUAUAAACACAGAUGUGCUGUUAUUUUGAGCAUAAAUGAGUGGGUAUUUUAAUCUUGCUAUUUUUGUGCCUCUACUAUUUGUUCUCUGUUCAUAGUGAGCACCCAUAGAAUCUAAAGAGUCGAUUCACGUUGUAGUUUUGUUUUUCUUUUAUUCUCGUCAAGUGUGUGUUUGCAUGUGUCAACUAAAAUUAAACAAACAGAGCAGAAAAAUUCAAAAAAGACAGCAUGGAAAACAUGACGAGCAAAAAGUAAAAGUUUUGCAUAGCUAGGUAAUGAUUUGAAAAUGCAGCUAAUUAGUAGAGGAUAGCCUUUUACAUAAAUUGGUAGAAAUAAGCUUCACAACAUAUGCAUUUUCAGAACUUGGAGUUCCCUGGAAAAGAUCUUGGAGGUCCCAUAGUCCUCUCCUUGUCCAUUUUCAGAGACAGUUCAGAAGAAACAGUAUCACACAGUUCCAAUCAAUACACAGAAAAAUUCAUCUCAUCUCAAACCUGCAAUUUUGCAAAUUCAAAUAUCAUCCCUUUUCUACUAAUAUAAAUAUUUUAUUUCUAACUCCCAACCACUACCCAUUCAUCUCUCCGCUACUAAAAACCCCAUCAAUUCAAAUUGAAGCAUAGAAAAAUGAAGCAUCUUUCCAAAUUGUUACGUGAAAGUAAAAGCACUUCCAUUUUGAAUUUCAGCUCAGCCAUAACAUCUUCAUAGAAGACGUACAAAACUCAUUGAUACAUUAAUUUACAAAUCAUUCUAAAGAAUAAAGAUCAUCGAGUAAAAGCAUACAAAACGAUACAGACAUAAAUCAAGAGAGCAAGAGGGACAAAAAUCACAAGUGGCACAACCGCAGCGAAGCUAUACCCACUUCCACAAGCCAAAGUCCCGAGCUUGAACUGAACCACAUUAAUCAAUGCCAGCAUUAAGAACACGCAUCCGAUAACCGAACCGACACCCGAAGCCAGCAUCCCGACCCGCAAUGAGUUCUUGUUCACUCGCACGAAGAACUCGGGUAAGUGAUGGGAAUGAGAGUGAAAAUCGGUGGUUUUGGAGAUCCGAAGAGCUUGCUUGAGUGCAAGAGCGAUCAAGCUGGAGAAGAGGAAGGAACUGAAGGAGAAGACAUGAUAGGAGACAAUGUUCUCGACGAUGGUGGAGCCGGCGGCGCAAGGUGAGGUGGGAUCGGUGAUAAGGGAGCUGUUGGGGUCGGUUGGGUUCCAGGCGAGGCCGACGAAGACGGCGAGAGUGAAGAGGGAGUUCACAUUGACGAUACCGUCAAGGGCGGUGAUGUGGAUGCUGGUGGUCAUGGUGAUUGAAAAUGAUCUGAGCUGAUUGGUGAAUCUGAAAUUUGAACGGACGGUUGAGUAAAGGGUUUGUUCUGUCACUGUCCUGCGAAGCAGGAAAUAAGUGAAGGAAGUGGCUUACCAGAGAGAAUAAUUGGGUCAGGACUCAGGCGCAAGGAAAAAUGGCGGAGUGUAUAAUACGCUAUCGUUUGGUGCUUUGUCCAAAAGAGAAAGGAAAUGCUCCAUUGAGAUGCUCAAUUUAUUAGUUGAUCAACUUUGAUAAAUGUUUUAAAAAUUUAUUAAUCAUUCCCUAUAUUACUAUAAUAAAGUAUUAGAAAUAAAUCUAAUGCUAUCUUGAUAUAGUUUCAGGCUUCCAAGUUGAACAGCAGCGGGCAUUUGGUCUAGUGGUAUGAUUCUCGCUUAGGGUGCGAGAGGUCCCGAGUUCAAUUCUCGGAAUGCCCCGUUUUUCUAACUUUUUGGUCCCUUCUUUCACUUGACUUCCAUGUCUGAACAAGAACAAUCAAAACUCAAUUUCUGUCUGCUCUCAGUUACAACCACAUACAUUCAUAUACACAAAAUUUUUUGAAAAAAAUUAAAUAAAUACUGAUUUAAUGUAACAUAUAAGAAUCAAUAAUCCAAACAAACAAAUGAUUUGUUACAGUAGGAGCCCAUCUACCAUCAACAGUUCCUAAUUCUCAAUCUAAUAUUUCAUUCUUUUCUAUCCACCAAACUCUUAGCUGAGUUGCUUUGAGUGAUUAAGACAUGCCGUUGUUAUCCCACUUUCAUGUCCUCCACCUUCUGUGCCAUUUGGAUUAGGACAUGUUGUUUCAGUUGAACUACCACAGAUCUUCGGUUUUGUAUCAACACCAAGAUAAUUCGUCAACACUUUUUUCACUCCAAAGCCUCGACGAUUAGGCUUGUGGCUGUUGUUGGAGGUGGUGAUGCUGUGGAGAAAUGGAGUUCGCUCUCCCCUUGCAGGACUAAUACGCGGCGCUGGAGAAAAGUAUGUUUUGUAUGGAGUGCCUGAGACAGGCACCGAGUAAGGGAUCGAAACAUUCUUGUGAGCAAUGACACUGACUGUUGGAACUGAUAUUUUAUCUGAAUGUUUAAUCAAGUCAUCCACGUACAAUAAAUCAUCAAUACGAGCUAUGACGUUGAAUGAUAAGCUCUCCAGAACUCUUGAAUAGCUUUCAAGGAUGGACUUUCCAACAUCCUGAAAUUUUUUUGAUGAACAAGUCCUGUUAAGAUAAUGCACUUAGGUGGAACUAGAAGCGAGUUGAAAGAGAGAAGCCAACCUUGUUGAAUUGGAUUUUGCUAGUGUCCAAGGUGGUCUGGCUUAGACUAGGAAACCGCUGCUUCAAGGAAAGCAGAAGGCUUUCUGCUCUCUCUGCAAGCAGGUCCCUCUUGUCUACGUCGAUCAUCAAGUCCUUGACCAUCUCCCAUGAUGACUUCGCAGUGGCCUUCGGAUUAGAAGUUCUCCUACGCAUUGCAUAUACUGCAGAUUCCACACGGUUUGCAAUUUCUAGAGCGGCAUGCUCAGUUUUCAAUUCCAGGCAAUCAAGCAGGGAUUCUGCAGAGAACUGCUCCGAAGCAAUAUACCGGUAUAUGUGGUCUCCUAAACAAGCUCUCCCAUUCUGAAAAACAAAUCAAAAGAACUAAAUGUUGUAACGCGCUUUACAGUGAUGAAGAAGCAUAGUAAAUUUAGUACAAUCUAGUGGAGAAAACAAGUUUAAAAGCCAUACCUUUGGAAGUGACUCCAAGUAUGAAUCAGGGACAUCCAUUUCGGCUAAAGCAAUGUUGUUGAUCGCCAUUGCAGCUUUUAGUAUUUGGUUUGUGCAUUCGCGUUUGUAGUUCAACUGCUUUCUUGAAUCUUCACUAAGACCACCUGCCGGAACACGGGGUAGAGGCAGCCACCACUUCUCUUCUUGCCUCUGAAUUGCUUUGCAGAAAGAGUUUGACCCAUCUGCACCUGAUGCUACAAUACCUUGAUCAACAUACCAAAACUCUGCAUUGGCAAAACUAUCUAGUAUUUCCUGCCAUUGAAGGUUCAAAAGGUUAAUGAUUCAGGCUACCACAAGUUCACAAAUGCCCCCCAAAACAACUAAUGCCUAAAUCUUACAAGAAGCAUAUUGUCCAGUUUAUGCAGAGCUGGGAGAUUGAUGGAAAGAUCUGAUCUCAGCUGGCAAUUCAUGACCUACAAAGGCAGAAAAUUAUUUAACUUUGGAAAAGGAAGAACAGGAAAAUUAAGAAUGAUUCAUGGUAACUAAAUUCCUUAGAUUUUGAUUGCAUUUUUAAUGUCUCGUAAGUUUUUUUUUUCUGACACAAAUUGCCUGCAUGCUAAUAAAGAAAGAAAUUUAUCUAAUAUGAACAACAUUUGUUUAACAUCCUAUGCUUUUUCACUUGAUAAUAGAUUAUAAUGAUGUAGAAUGGAUCCUUGACAGAUUAAGCAAAUUAUAUUUGUAAUUCUGAAUCAAAAUGGCACUAGAAUUAGACUUACUUCAAGCUUACUGCCAUCAGGAAAUGUUUGCCAAGAUGGUAUUAACUCCACAAUGUGAUCACCAACACAAAGAAGCCACUCCAUCUCUCUUCUCCACAUUGAUUUCUUCUCUGAAGGCAGUGGCUCCAGUCUCCAUAAUUGUCCAAAAACAGUAACUGCUUGUUGCAAAACCAAGAUUAAAUUACAAUAAAAUUUAGAAUUUUUAGAAUGGUUUACACAUAAACUUAGACAAGAAAGCUUACCACAGAGGUUAGUAAUGGCAUUUGAGAGAGCCAAAGCUGUGCAAACACCUUUCCCAGACCCUGACAUGUCUUCACCAAGCAGCAAUUUUGCGAACCUCUCCUUCAUCAUAUCAAUCUCUGCACCAAAUUUACCCAACAAAAUUACUAAAAAUAAAUUUAACCCAAUGAUUAUUUUAUAAAAGAAAUUUGUUUUUUUAUAAAAAAAAAAAAAGAAAAAAAAAGAAAAAAAAGAAGAAGAUGUGUACCAUGAUUAAUAAAGAAAUGUCAAUUUGAAAAUUUUGCUUUUGAAGUUUGAGUUUCAUAUAGUCGAAUAGACUUGGAAUUGAAGUUCUUUCAAAAUCUCACUCUUAUUUAAUAUUCAAGAACAGAUGCAUUUAAAAUUUGAAAAAAGAAAAUAACGAAAAGGGAAACACAAAUACCAACCUGAAAUCUUUGAGCUCAGCUUUUUAAACUUGGAACCCUGAAAAUUGGUUUUCUCUUGAUCAUCAUUUCCACCAGUGGCUGAUGAGUCCUUGCAAUCUCCAGCUUUCAUUAUCGGCCAUCCUAAAGGAGAAGGAGAAUCACACCCAACAGUCUUCACUCCUUCAGUAGAACUAGACUCAGGACUCGAGCUGCUGCUAUCUCUUGACUCGGUCACUGACUCAGACCCAUUUUUCCUCAUCUCAUAUCCUCCUGCUGCACCAUUCCUGUUCACCAUACUUUCCAUUGUUGAUGAAAAAGCAGAAAUUUUUUCGAAACCCAAAAGCUCAGAUUCAUGUAAGAUUCACCAAAAACAACUUCUUUCACUCAUAUAAAUUAAACCCCAUAAAAAGAUAAAUCCAAAAGCUCAAACAGUGUGGGUCAUGGUAGAUUCAGGUUGCUGUUAACACACAUUCUCUUUGUCCAUCUUUCUCUUUUCUCUCUCACCCACCAGUUGAAAUUUAAUUUUGAAGCUGAAAACGGUAACUAGUAAUGGAACAGGCCAUGGAUAACGUCUCUCUUUGAUUUUGAUUUCCUGUCUCUCUCUCUCUCGCUAUCAAUCUCUGAGUAGAGAAUACGUACAAAAUAUUUGUAAAAUACAAAGGCCCAUUGCCUUUGGGAGGACGGAUACGUCGAUGGACUGAAGUUACACUUUUGCCCUCUUAUUUUUCUUUAUUUAUCUACACUGCCCCUCGUAAGAAUUUAUUCGGUCUUCUUUUAAUUCACAAGUUUUUUUAGUUUAAUCAUACAAAAUAAUAAAUUCAAAAAAAAAUUAAAUUAAAAAGAACGAUAAAUAUAUUAAAUUUUAAUAAAAAUAAAAAUAAAAAAUAAUAUUUUUUUAUUUAAAAUGUAUAUAUAAAUAUAAUUUAAUUAAUAUUUUACAAACGCUCCAUUUAUUAAAGGGUAAAUCAGAAAAAUAAUAUUUAAAUCUGUUUAUUUGUCAGUAAUUUAUUUAAGAUAAUUUCAUUAAUCCUUUCUAUUCAAAACUCUAUAUUACUACGACUAAAAUAUAUUAAAUAUACUUCUUUACUUAAUUUUCAAUUAAUAUAUUUUUAAAAAAAUAUUAUUUUCAAAAUACCAACUAAAUUCUAAAUAAAUUUAAAAAAAAAUACUUAAACAUCAAAAAUCUUAAUAAUUCUUUAUUUAAAAAAUAAAAUAAUUUUUUAUUUAAAAAAUAAAAUAAAAAAACCUAGACCUUCUGUGGUCCUUCGGUGUUUAGCUUUUCCGACAUCUCCCACUGCCAAAAAAAAAAGCUAAAGGCUAAAAAAACCCACCAACGAGUGCCCAAAAAGCUAUAAUGUAGCAGUUUUGGUGAUGGGUAAAGCAAUGACUUUAGAUUCGUGCAAUGGUUUUGCCAACUUUUCCCUUUUUUUUUUUAUUUUCUUAAUAUUUAUUAAUAUUAUUGAUGACCGCUGGAUUUUUUCAUCCUGAUUUAAGGCCAGACCCAUAAAAACAGCCCAUAAUCUGAAAACUUUUAAGUAUCCUGCAAGAUCCAAGUCCAGCCCGCUCAGUUGUAGGACCGGGCUCUACCUAGAUUCUUCAAUCCAGUCGGUCCAGCCUUUUCGGCCCAAUGAUCAGACCUCCUCUAAGCUCAACCUUAACCCAUCUUCCAGCCCAGCCCGGAAGAAGGAAAGUGGCCAGCCCAUCCGACUGGUAAAUCCACCCACAUGCGUACCAGGAAAAAAUUAAGUGACCGUUACGCAUGUAGCAGGAAUCUGAUAUUCUCAUACAUUCAGAUCCGUAUGGCAGAGACACGUGGUCCAAUGACGGAAACUUCGUUACACGUCGCUAACAAACAAAAGGAAAUGAAUAAAAGGAGAAACACUUUCCUCACGGACUAACCUUUUUCUAAGUUCGUAGAAAUCUUAUAAAAUCCUAUUUUUUAGAUUUUAAAUCAUCAAUUAUAAUGUUAUUUUUUUAUUUUUUAAUGUAUAUACACUAAAUUAAAUUUCAAGGAUUCAUAAUUUUUACUAAUAUUUCCAUUUUGAAAAAUGAUUCAAAUGAAUGUGAAAUGGAAAAACAAGAGAAAGAAUUCCAUUUUAACUAAACAUAUGGGAAACAAGAAGGUAACAUGCUUUUGCUCUCGCUUUUCAAAAAGACUGACCUCCAUAUUUUACCCAAUUUCUCUAUUUUAUUCUUUUAUUUCAUGCAUUUUUGCAUCGUCAAAACCUACAAAGGUUAAGUAAAUUAUCCAUAAAUUUUAAUUUUAAUUCAGGGACUACUCAUAUUUAAAACCUUUUUUUCGAUUUAUGUUUGGCCCGACCCGAUUGAAAUUCAAAAAGGUCAUAUGCUAUGCUUUGGAAUAAUAAAUCUUCAAGUUUCAAUUUGAUGAAAUGAACACUAACCGUCAUUUUUCAUCAUACCCAAUUUGAAUUUUGGAAACCUUGACAUUAUUUAACUUUAUAUAAUGUCAAAGUUUGGCAGUGGUUCCAAUUGGGUGUCACGGGCUUGACCAGCCUCCCAUACUGGACGUCACCAUAAGCUUAGCUGGCUUCUAAAAUGCUCGCCGUGGACCACCGUCAUGGGCCGGUCUUUGUAUUUGGUAAUGGCCAUCAUUUAGUCCAUUCAAAAUUAAAUUAAUUAAAAUUGGGAGAUAAUCAAAUUUAAUAAAUAUAUUACUUUUAAAAUUUUUUAUAAUUAAAAAAUAUUAAAUUCAAAUUUAAAUUAAUUUUAGAUAUAUUUUAAUUGUUGUAUUUAAAUAAUUAAUUUUCUUACUAAAUAGAGUUGUUUUUCAUGGCCUUGUCUUGGUGAUCCAGAAGGGCUACGAAUUUUCAAGCCCAAAUCAUUUCAUUCGCUCACCACCGCGAACGAGCCAUUCGACAGCUAAAGAGUUGCAACCUCAGUAGCUAAACAGGACCCAAUACUCUCUUUACACGAUCCAAAAUUCCCAUCUCCUUGAUUUUCUGUUUCUCUUUUCUUUCAUGUCUUUCUUCAUAUAAUAUUCUUUUUUAAUUUAAAAGAAGAACUAUAAACAGCUGCUGAUUCCGCCUUUCGUUGAUCAGACAUAGCUUUAUCAUCUGUGAUCCUUUUCCUCCAAAGGUGUUCUUUUCUCUGCGCUUCUUUCUUUAUCUGUUUGUACAUAUGUGCCUUUCUAUUUUUCGGUUGUAUAUAUUUUCAAAGAACUGCUCUUUGCUCUGUUUUUCCUUUUGCGUUAAUUUGUUUACAUAUUUGUCAUUGUGGGUACUAUUUGUUUGAUAAUAGAAUGGAUUCUGAGUUUGGUUUCUCUUAAAUCUUCGUUAGAUUGGUUGAAUUGGGAUUGAUCAAUUUUGGAAGUUCAUGUCAGAUCACUAUUUGAGCUGAUAUGUAUAGCUUAAUUAGGAGGUGUUAAUGCGUUUGAAUCAUCGUGUUCUUGAAAUUUUUCGAUGAUCUAGUCGUUUGAACGUGGAGCUGCAGCUCCAUCUAUCCGUUGACUUUUUCUUUUUAACGUAGAUAUCAAUUUGAUUAGCUCUAUUUCAAUGCAAAAAAAACAUGGCGUUAAUUUUUCUAUAGAACUGUGUAAUCAUGAAAAUUUUGGAUUUUCACUUGAACACAUUCCUAGAUGUUCUAAUAUCAGUUCAAAGAAGUUUUGAAUGGGACAAUUUGAUGCAACCAUAAAAGUGGCUAAAUUUAUUUUAUGUAAAGCCAUGGUUAGAAGGUAAUCUAGCAGUUGCAGUUAUUAAACCUUCAAAUAUUCUCUUUAUUGAACCUGGAAAAAUUGGAAUCUUAACUAAUUUUUGUUUAAAUGGUCAGUGCUGGAAAUUUGAUCUUUUGUGCCUUGAAUCUGCAACAGGUGAAAUCUUUAAAACGUUUUUGGAGGACUAAAAGAGAAAGCAGAUGAAGCAUAUUUAUUGAGCAGACAGUGGUUAUGCUUGAAUAUUAACACGGUUCUGGAAUUCUAUUUUUAAUUUGGUCGCUGAUGUGGCCACUGUAUUUUCUGUUAAGCAAGAUUUUUAAUGUGGAAGAAGCAGAAGCAAAACUAAAUGGUUCAGUUGCAGAUAAUGUGAAUGCUAGAGAAUGUCACCUUAUCGGGCCAUCAUCAAGUGGUAGAAAAUGCCAAGAUGAUGUCUUGUGUUGUUCGCUCUUUAUUGAAGUAAGAGAACUGUGGCUUUGUCUCUCUUUUUUUAAGGGUUAAUAAUUUGAUGUAGAAUGUUAAUGUUUGCUAAUCAGAAAUUCAAUUCUGAUGGACAAUCCUUAUUUUCAGUAAAGUGUUCCUUGACUUGUUUUUUUGUUUUGAGUCCGUAAGUUGUCUUGGUGCACAUAGGUUCCACACAUAAGCCAGCUGCAUUCCUGGGACUGUGGCCUUGCUUGUGUUCUCAUGGCUUUGAAUACUAUUGGCAUCAACAAUUGUAGCAUCCAAGCCUUGGCAGAAUUGUGCUGCACGACUAGGUCUGUCAUUUUUCCAAAAUUGCAACUUCUGUUUCUUGUUUUUGUGGAAGUAAAAUUAAGGGUUUGAUGUAGUUCACCUAUGUAGAAUAUAAAGGGUUUUUCUUUACUCCAAUUGUUUGUCACUAGACCAACUGUCAUCUAUUUUGCAUCUGGUACUCAGUCUACGUUUGUGGUUUGGCAGUGGGAUGCUUUUCUGCUCAAAUUAAGAGAAUAUUUUGACUUGAACCAGAUCUAGUUUUAUGUAUAUCUGUGGAUGCUACAUAACUUAAUUUGAGGAGUGAGGUCCUAGUAAGGUCAAGAUAUUGAAUAAACACACUUUUGAAUAAAAUUUUAAGCUAUUAGUUUUUGGGUCGCUUUCAUGUCUCUGAAAUUCACCAACAUCUAAAGGAAUGAGUUGGUUAAUGAAGAUUAUUUUAAAGUUUACCACCUCUACAAAGCAUUCAAAUACAUGGGGCAUCUUUCCUAAAUCUGCCUUCAUAUAGAUGCGUCCUAUGCUAUGAGCUAAAGAGAGGGGUUUGAUGUGAAAAAGUUAAAGCCCUUGAGUGCUUGCCCAGUUUAUUGGCUCACUAGAAGGGUGGCUCAUGGAGGAUGUGUGUGGGCAGCCAUGCUAUAAACAAAAUUAUAGUCUUCAAUUUUCCUAUUCCUUGAUGGGAAGAGAUGCUUGAUUAAUUAGAAACUUCUGAAUUGUUUUCUAAGAUGGUUUUAAAGAGAAGAGAAUAUCAAAUUAGAAUAAGGAGCAAAGAUGUGCGGAAAACUUCUUUUAAAACACCAGAUGAUCAAUUCAAAUGGUUGGUUAUUUCAUCUGGCCUUUCUAAUGUGCCAAGAACAGUCAUUAGAGUUAUGAUGGAAGUACCCAAGGCUCACUUGAAUUCUUUUAUUGUGGUUUAUUUUAAUGAAAUUUGGAUCUAUAGCCACAAUAAUGAAGAGCACAUAAAACAUUUGCAACAAUUUUUGAGGUAUUUUGAAGGGAGCAUCACUAUACAAACACGAAAGCUUCUUGGUGAAGUGACUUAGUAGACCAGCAACCAAAAGCACUUGAAUUACUGGGGAGGAGCUAAAAGGCAGCUGUCUGACUUUUUGUGGGACCGAGGUUUUCUCUAAUCCUAGGAGAUUGAUGGCCUGGCAUCUGUAGUACUAUUUCAGUUUUGGAUUUUACUUUGUUUUUUAUUUGUUUAUAGAUUUUUUUUUUCCAUCUCUAUUUAGGAUUCUUGUCCAUUAAAUCUUUAUUAAUUAGGAUUAGUUUUCAGUCUAUGAAUAGGUGUUACCCUACUUAGUAAUUGGUAUAAGUAAGGUUGCUGGUAGAAAUAUCAGUAGUAUUUUUUCUUUUUCAUAUUCAAAAUUUUAUCAAGAGGUUUUCUGUAAAUCCUAGUUUUCUUUUUUUUCCCCAUUCCAACCACAAUCAAAUUUAUUUUAGCUCUAGAAGUUGAUAUCUAAUUGUCUUAAACUCUUUCACUGCUUCAGUUAUUUACCUUGAUAUAAGAAUUUGUUUGUUGUUCAGGUGGAACAUUUAUGCUGCAAGAUGCAGCUGUUCCCAUUUUAUGUGUUUUAUUUUAUUUUAUUUAUUGUGUUCUUCUUAUCAUUUGGCUGGUUGACUCUUACAUUCAAGUGUAAACAAAAUAAAUCAAUUAUACUGUCCUGUGAAUUUGAUCUGAACCUUUUUUCCAUGAACCUUUCUGUUGACGUCCUUUUGCAGCAUUUGGACUGUUGAUCUGGCAUAUUUACUGCAGAAGUUUUCUGUUCAAUUUUCCUACUUCACAGUAACUAUUGGUGCAAAUCCAAAUUACUCUGCUGAGACAUUUUACAAGGUGACAUUCUGUCAUAUUUAUGUACCUUUCUUUUCCUUUUCGCCAUAAUUGUUCUGAAGAAUGUUUGGAUGCAAGUUCAUUAGACGUUAUCUUGUUGAAAGAUAUUCAUUUCUAUAAUGGUAUGGGAUGUAUGAUUAUGUUCAAUAAUCACUGUUUUCUAUAUUAGUAUGAUAGUUAUAGUACCUCGCAACGCGAUUUGGAUUCAGCCUUUUUUUCCCUGGCCUGUCAAUAUGCUAUUAUGAAAACAUAUUUGUUAUACUUCCUAAUGCUUUUUUUAGACUGAUGAUAAUCUGUAAGCCCUUAUGUUAUCACUGUAAUACCAAUAAAAAUCUAGUUUUGUGCAGGAGCAACUGCCUACUGAUCUGGUGCGUGUGGACAUGCUCUUUCAAAAAGCACGGGAGGAAGGGAUUAAUAUACAGGUAUAUGACUUGCAUCUGGGGCACAUAUCAAAUUGGCAUAUAUAGAUUUUAUUGCAAACAUGGUUGUGUUUUCCGAAUAUUCUCAAGUUCAUAUUCACAGCUAAUAAUGAGAAUUGACACAACAGCACCAAUGCAAUUAACUAUAAUGCCUUUUUUUUUUGUUACAGUAUAUUUUUGUUCUUUGACAUCAAUUAAAUUCCUAAUAUUUAAGUAUCAACCGAAGUCUUAAUAUUGAUACAUAUCUUAUAGCCAUUUUUAUCACUGAAAAUUUAGGCCAGUGUUAGAUCAAUCAGAAAAGUAAAUAUCAACAAAUAAACCUUGAUUUGUUAUUUCGAUUUGCUUAUGUAGGUUAAGCUUGUGAACCUUUUCCUUUUACAGUGCAGGUCAAUCAAUGAAAAAGAAAUUUCUCUCUUGAUUUUGUCUGGGAAAUAUAUUGCAAUUGCUUUGGUUGACCAGUACAAAUUAAGGUAUAAUCUUCUAUGAUUUAUUGCUUCUUAUUUUCUAUCCAGAUUUACUUUGUCCUUUAACAUACUGCAAUGCCAUGACAUUCUCUUUUUCUCACCAUCUUAAUAAGAACCUAUAUUGCUACCUUGAUUUGCCAAUUUCUCCUUUUCUCCUAAUUCAUUUGUGUGAUUUAAACUAAAAGCCUAACUUAUUGUGUAAUGAAUGACUUGUUUUAUUGUAACAAUAGCAUAAUAUUAUCUGUUUCUCGUAAAAUUUCAUGCUAGCCGGUCUUGGAUGGAGGAUAUUAUCUUAUCAGGCUUGAAUGGGAGCAACUCAAACUAUACGGGUGAGCAGUAGCAUUUUUUGUUCCCCUCUGUGAUAAAAUAUGAUAUAGACUUACAAUUAUGUUUGUGUUUUAUAAUAGAAAAUAGUUUCUGCUCAUCUCUGUGGAUUAACCUAUCUUGAUAAUAAGAGAUUCACAAGGCACACUAUAGGCAUGGCAAGGUGGUGGUGGUUAUGCAAUUCUAUGAUUAUGAUUGACUUUGUAACAAUGAAUCAUUAUGAAUGCGAACUGCGAUGAGAUUCUGUACAUUCCAAAUGUUCAUUAAUGUAUCCUGAUCAAUCACUUGUCACAACUUUUUCAAAAAAUAAAUAUUGGCAGGCUUGCUCUUUGCAAUAUAAUUAUGCGGGGGGAUAAGUUGGUGACACUAGCUCUUUUUUUUAUUAGGUCACUAUGUUGUGAUAUGUGGUUAUGAUGCUGGAACAGAUGAGUUUGAGAUUCGAGAUCCUGCCAGUUCUAGGUAUCAUCUUUGCUUCCCUUCUUAUUGUUAUUGAAGUCUCUAUCCAACACUGGUGCUCAAGGAUAAGAUGAAGGGUCCAAUAACUAUGCAAUGAAAUGUUUUUUGCCCUAUUGAAUAAUUAAAAUGUGUAAAUUCGUGCUGGAGUAAUAAAUAAUUACUCAAAUAUGCAUCAUAUCAGGUGACACAAUUCGUAAAGGAUCUUCAGACCACACUUCAAAAGUUUUAGGUUCAUCUAACUGUGAGUCGGAUACAUCCAUUUGAAAUCUCCUCUCUUGUGCAUACCUAGUGCACUUGUCCAGAGAAGAAGGGACUAUCAAAAACUUGCUGGCAAAUACGUCCUUUUAGCAGUUAAAAAUUUUUAUCCAUUUUUCAUGAUAUCAUGCACGGAUCAGAUAUUUGGCGAAUUCUUCAGAAAAAUUGUGUCUUCCACAAACUUCCUUUGACUUGUAUUGUAGGCAUGUCAAUUGUGAUUUGCAAAUUGAGUUUUACAUUGUGGAAGAUUGAAUUUUGGGGAAAAUGCAGGAAAAGUCAGAGGAUCUCAUCAAAAUGCUUAGAAGAAGCACGCAAAUCCUUUGGUACUGAUGAAGAUCUUCUCCUGGUAAACUAAUAUUUUUUUCCCUGCAAGUAUGAUUGCAUAAAAAAUCACCAACGUUUUUCUUUUGAGAGCAUCUGUUUAAGAUAUGAUUCAAUCAUAGCCUUAAGUGUUCCUGCUUGAAGUAGUGAUAUCAUAUGCACGAGCCAAUCCUCGGUUGCAGGCUCAAAAAAAGAAAAGAAAAAUAGUCUAACUCUGUAAUAUGAUAGCUCCUCCAUCUUAAAAACUCAAGUUUAUCCAGGGUGUGAAAUAAGCCUCUCAAACUUCGU
This 86664-nucleotide long non-coding RNA is filed under the name Manihot esculenta (cassava). RNAcentral describes it as "long non-coding RNA (MESC_LNC004251)". The stretch from base 75163 to 75234 matches the Rfam family "tRNA". The record is from RNAcentral. Lineage: Eukaryota; Viridiplantae; Streptophyta; Magnoliopsida; Malpighiales; Euphorbiaceae.